GUCCUCUUCAGAGCAGUGCCCUAUUGUUCCAUAAUUGUCCCUUAUCUUUGAAAUUUGAUGCCUACUUGCACUACCCAAGUACGGUCAUUUAAAGGAAGAGCGUGAGAAUGCACACAGUGCAGCUGAACUCCUGGAGAAGUGAGGAUUUGUCAAAGCUAUUGUAAGGUAAGAGCUUCUAUUUAUAAUCUCAUUUAAAAUAACUCCCGAUGAAAAAAGAAGACGACAAACUUUCCAUCACUCCACAUCAUUCCUUAUGCUCUACACUGAAUUCCGUCCCUGUGGAAUCCUCCUCUGCGUUUUUCACUCUUCCAAAGGACAGGAGCUUGCAGUCUGACCAUUAGUACAUUUCCCAGAAAUAAUUUACUUUGCUCUUGCGUGCGCUAUUUAGCGAUCUAUCUGCCAUGUUGCAAUGAAGUUUACAAGCUGUUCUUUAAGCCUACAGGGCACAUUUUGACCUUUAUUUUGCGGGGUGGGAGAGAGGGCUGGGCCAAGGAGCCCUAGAUUUAUGACCCUACAACUCUGCAAAACAUAUCCAUUAGCGUCUAUGCAGCUGUUUAUCUGUGAAGAUCUGCAGGCUGUAUACUGUUUACACAGGAGGGGAACAAAAUCUUAUUUACCAUCUCAGAAGGUGCUGUGUGUAAAUAACAAAACCAUGACACUGAAUCCCAAAGAUGAGUGAGAUAAAUAAAUAUCCCAGGGUGCCGAAGAAGGUGCCAUUCCCAUUUGCAGCUGUCCUAGUUGAAAACCUGGAAGUCCACAUAAACAGCGUAAUAGGGCACAUGUUUACAAAGCUGGGAACUGGGAGACAUAGCAGAUUGACUAGCUGGCUUAUUUUUAGAUCAUUGCUUGUCCCGUCAUAGGAAUGGCUCUCUGUUCCUGCUAGCCCCCUUGGACAGAAUAAACUCAUUUCUAUUUUCCUCUUGCAGAAAUCCAGUCAUUUCAGGACAUCCUGUUUUCCCCUUGCAGAAAUUCGCACAGAACUGUCCUUGCCAAGCCCAAUAUUCUUGUAAGUGGGGCAAAACUAGGAUUAUGCAGAGUCCCGACAUAGUAUAUUCUCUUUGCAAGAAAUUCUCAACAGCUGACAUGCAAAAAUUUUCAUCAGACUUCAUUCAGGCAUCUUAUGCCACCAUUUCAUACAUAUUAUCAGCUUCUUAUUUAUACUUCUGUUUCUACUAAUUGUCAUAAUUUAGAUUGUGGAUAGGGAUCUGUUUUCUCUGUUUGUGGAAUAAGAGGUACAGACACAACCCUAUCAGUCUAGUCUGUCCCUCAAACUGUCUUUGCCAUAGUGUUCAUGGUAAGUCAUUUAACUCUUUUGUAGCUUUGUUUAUCGCCCCUUCCUCACAAUGAUUACUUUUUCUACAGAUCCAUGCAUGUAAAUGGCACGUAGAGCAGGGGUGGGGUACCUGGGGCCCUCCAGCUGUCAUUAGACUACAACUCCCUUCAUCUCUGACCAUUGGCCAUGGUAGCUGGGGCUGAUGGGAGUUGGAGUCCCAUAACACCUGAAGGUUCGAAGGUUCUCCAUUCCUGCUCUACAACAGUGCAUCUACAAGAGUACUUCUCAGCAGAAGAGGCUUCACAACUCUUUGCUGAAUCCUGUGUGAAGAAUUCAUUUGUCUUACAUGCAUCCUGCCCUUCAUGCUUACAGCAGGCAGGAAGAAAAACUAGUGAUUUGAUCAAGGCUGCUAGUGAGCUUCACAGGAGAGCAGAAUAUCACUCUUCAGCCUGGAGGAGCACUAGAGGUUUGGGGAUUUGAACUAGGAUUUCCCAUAUUCAAGCACGACAUUCUUCAGUUAAGAAGAAAUGUAUAGCUCAUCUCCCUAUGUUGGGUAUACACACACACACACACACACACACACGGGCAAUGGGAGUGAUUUUGAGCAAGCAAAUGGCUGGGAAGGAAAGGGUUAAGAAACUGUUUCAUAAGGUUUUGCUAUCAAUCCGGGCUGCAUACUCACCAAACAUUUAAAAGAACACUUGCUCCCACCCCCAAGACUCCUGGGAGCUGUAGUUUGUUAAGGCUGCUAGGGAUUGUCAUUCUGUGAGGAAUAAACUAUAGUUCCCAGGAUUCUUUGGAGGUAGGGGGAAUGUGCAUACCAUUUUGAAUAUGUAACUACCGUAUUUUUUGCUCUAUAAGACUCACUUUUUCCCUCCUAAAAAGUAAGGGGAAAUGUGUGUGCGUCUUAUGGAGCAAAUGCAGGCUGCACAGCUAUCCCAGAAGCCAGAACAGCAAGAGGGAUUGCUGCUUUCACUGUGCAGCAAUCCCUCUUGCUGUUCUGCCUUCUGAGAUUCAGAAUAUUUUUUUUCUUGUUUUCCUCCUCCAAAAACUAGGUGCGUCUUGUGGUCUGGUGCGUCUUACAGAGCGAAAAAUACGGUAUGUGGUAGGCAAUAAAGAUACAUGCAAUGUGUAUUUCAAAACUAGGGAUGGGGGAGAGAUUUGAUUCAGUUUGCAUCUAAAUGCAAAAUGAUAGAAUUCACACUUUCAGAAAUAAUGUGUAAACCAAAAUGCAUUCAUCCUUCAAAAUUCACACUUUUCUGAAUUUUGCAAUAUAUAGUUUUCCAGCCUUGCAAUGUGUACAAAAAUGCAUAUAUUGGGGUGAAGUGUACAUAUAAAUGCCUAUCAAUAAAAAUGACAUACAAAGGUGCAUUAUGAUGCACUCUCUUUGUCCGUCUAGGUACAUGACAAAAAUUAUACCAAAAUGUACAUGUGAGGAGAAAUUUGCACUACAAUUCUGAUGGAGUUUCAUGAGGACUUUAAAAAAAAUCACAAACUAAUUUGGAAACAUGGAGAACUGAACUUAAAGACUGGAAAAAUGAGAAACUGAAAUAGACAGAUUUUCCCAUCCCUAUUCAAACUUUACAUCAUUUGUGACUUGAAUAUUUAAGCUGGUAUUGGAUUAGGCAUCACAGUUUCUCUGGUCUCAGUUUUUGGUGUGACUUUCACAUCAUUAGGCCUACACAAGAUCCAUGAAUUUCAACAUGGAGGAUUUUUUGCAUUCCACUUAAAGAGGUCACUGAACUGUGAGCCAAUGCCACAUUUUGACAAAAAACAAACAAACCUCAAAUCACAUAUUCUGAAGCCAUCUGACUCUGGAAUAAUUGCUCUGGGAAAACCUCAGAUAACAUAUUCUGGAGCAAUCUGACUCUGGAAUAAUUGCUUUUAUAGCUGCAGCCUUAGUAUAUUGCAAAUAUACUCACUUGCCAGUGAGUAUCUGUGGUUAAAAAAAAAUAAAAUCUGCAGAUUGCGGCACUAGCUCUUUUCACCCUUGCUAACAAAUCAUAAAACAAUCCAUUUCCUUCCUUUGUUUUGCCUCUUUGCAGUAGGUCAGGAAGGUUGGGGAAGAUUGCACAGAGUGACAGCAUCUCUCAUGUUCUGUCACAUUCCUGAAAUAAGAAUAUAUCAUGCACUUAUGAAUUGGGGACAGUGUCUCAUUACCAAAGGAAGCAAACAAUUCCCGAGGUUUGAAUAAUAAGAGAGGAUGAAGCUGCCACGGCUGCCAAGCGAGAGAAAAUAACCUGCUAAUAUUAUGCCCAAGUGGCCUGACUUGCAAAAAAUGUAAACACCCGCCGAAGCUGGUGGAAUCUGCAGGUGCUCCGUAUCUCUGGAAUUCAGGCCAAUCUUGACUGACAUUUUAAAAGUUCUUCUUAUUUAUAUUCACUUCCCCUCCCCCCCUUGCCACAAAAAUACACAGCUUGCAUUCCCCUUCUCCACCCCUUCCCCUCUGUAUGUGCAAUAUAUUUGACAGAAUGUAAAGUUGACAAAAUGCCCAUGAACUUUUGGCUUGCAAUUAAAUUCUUGGUUAACUCACAGUGUAUAAUAUAUCCAAAUGGGUUAUAGAAAUAGACCUUGUGAGCAGUGUUGCGUAUGUGUUUGUGGAGGGAGGGAUUCUUUUCACAUAUCUAUGCUAUGUAUAGCUAGGACACUGAGGAGAAUGACAUGCAUGAACGUCAACCUGAUGUUGUUGGACUACAACUCCUAUGAGCUUCACCAGCUUCACCAAUAGUUAGGGAUGAUGGAAAAUGGAGGGGUGGCUAACACCCCAGAGGACAGGAUCACACUUCAAAACGACCUUGACAGAUUAGAGAACUGGGCCAAAACAAACAAGAUGAAUUUUAACAGGGAGAAAUGUAAAGUAUUGCACUUGGGCAAAAAAAUGAGAGGCACAAAUACAAGAUGGGGGACACCUGGCUUGAGAGCAGUACAUGUGAAUAGGAUCUAGGAGUCUUGGUUGACCACAAACUUGACAUGAGCCAACAGUGUGACGCGGCAGCUAAAAAAGCCAAUGCAAUUCUGGGCUGCAUCAAUAGGAGUAUAGCAUCUAGAUCAAGGGAAGUAAUAGUGCCACUGUAUUCUGCUCUGGUCAGACCUCACCUGGAGUACUGUGUCCAGUUCUGGGCACCACAGUUCAAGAAGGACACUGACAAACUGGAACGUGUCCAGAGGAGGGCAACCAAAAUGGUCAAAGGCCUGGAAACGAUGCCUUAUGAGGAACUGCUAAGGGAGCUGGGCAUGUUUAGCCUGGAGAAGAGGAGGUUAAGGGGUGAUAUGAUAGCCAUGUUCAAAUAUAUAAAAGGUCACAUAGAGGAGGGAGAAAGGUUGUUUUCUGCUGCUCCAGAGAAGCGGACACGGAGCAAUGGAUCCAAACUACAAGAAAGAAGAUUCCACCUAAACAUUAGGAAGAACUUCCUGACAGUAAGAGCUGUUCGACAGUGGAAUUUGCUGCCAAGGAGUGUGGUGGAGUCUCCUUCUUUGGAGGUCUUUAAGCAGAGGCUUGACAAUCAUAUGUCAGGAGUGCUCUGAUGGUGUUUCCUGCUUGGCAGGGGGUUGGACUCGAUGGCCCUUGUGGUCUCUUCCAACUCUAUGAUUCUAUGAUUCUAUGAGUCCAGCAACAUUUGGCAGGUACCUUGUUGGCUUUCACUGUUUGAGAUAGUAGGCAGUCCCCCUCAAAUAGUACUGUUAGGCUACUUGAACAGUAUUGAUUCCUUUGGAAUCCUACCUAAGGUGGGGUGUACUGAUACAUUGGAGCAAUUCAAACUAACUGAAGAGGGUUGAGGGUUCAGAGUCCCUCAUGACUUAAAAGUAUGUGUGUGUGUCUCUCUCUGUGUUGCAUCAUUGUGAAGGCUAGUCUUGCUUCUGUCCCUCCUAAGCCAAGAGGUUUGGAAAGGAUAGGUGAGUAACAGGACUUUAGCUUGUUGGUUUGUUUGUAUAAGUUAUAUACUGCUUGCGAUAACAUUACACUAAUAAAAUAACAACCAAACAUUACACUAAUAAAAUAACAACCAAAAAUGAGUAUAGCAAAGUGCAAUAAAUAUCCAUUGCAAUGUUAAGCAAAAUAUUAACACAGAAAUAUCAAGCAGUGUGAUCAAAAAAAUCAAGAGCCACUUGCAUCUCUAUGGUAGGAGUAUAUAAAAUAUGAAACCUGUCCACAAAUUCUAGGUUUUAAUUGAAUGCAAGGAGUAGUGUUUAUGGGCAUGCAGGACUCUUGCUUUUUUAAAUUUUCAAAUGGCAGGCACCUUUUGGAUUACUAACCCAUCUUUGGUACAGUGCCAGGUAUUUCAUAAGCACGAUCCCUAAUAAUUCAUGUAAUUUUCUUUUAUAAGAUGGUUACAUUGGCUCUUCGUAUCUAGCCCAUCAGCUGAAUGACUGAUCAAAAGGAUGUUAACCUUUCUGGAAAAGUGCCAUGCACACAGUCCCAGCUUGAGUUUGUAAAAAGAAGCCACAUGGGGAUGUGCAUGUAAUGCCUCUAGCUAAGAAGGGGUGAUAACAUUUAAGUCCUCAUAAGACUAUAAUAAACCAUAAAUGCAAACUACAAUUGGUUCAACUUUCACUAAGCCAGUUGUUGGAAUGCUUUGCUCAGAAAUAGAUUGUGGAUUUGGGCAAAUAUUUUUAUAUUUAAAAUAUGAUAUUAUGGACUCUCUUAAAAAAUUGGUGUGAACCACACAUAGCUUGUCCAAGCUAUGAUGGUGAUGGAUAACAGAAUCCAUGGUGGAGCUAUUGCCACUUCCUAUGCCCUGCCGGCUUAUUGUGGCCAGAAUGGGAGGUGUGGGUGGCUUUUAUAUGGGCAUAAUGUGAACUCCUAUCAGGAUAUAGAUGCCUACUUCAUGGCAGAACUCUUCUCUGCAAGAGCAGCACUUACAGCCAUAACUAAGGCCUUUUGGCCUAAAGGAAUAGGUUAGUAGUCUGCAAGUACUCCUUUGUUCCAACUUGUCCUUAGUGGUUAGGAGUGCCCAUGCUGAUUUGCCACUUAUGGUCAUUCCUGGAUCGGGAUAGCCUGGCCUCAUUUGUUCAUGCUCUGGUAUCCUUUCAUUUGGAUGGCUGUAUGUGGGGCUUCCCAUGAAGAUGGUCCAAAGCUUACUUCUAGUGCAGAAUGCAUCUCCUAGGCUAGGGCAGUCUGAUGUUGCACUAGCUGUCAAUGAUUAGUCCCAAUUCAAGGUGUUCAUAAAGGUAAAGGGACCCCUGACCAUUAGGUCCAGUCAUGGCCGACUCUGGGGUUGCGGCGCUCAUCUUGCUUUAUUGGCCAAGGGAGCUGGUGUACAGCUUCCGGGUCAUGUGGCCAGCAUGACUAAGCCGCUUCUGGCAAACCAGAGCAGUGCACGGAAACACCGUUUACCUUCCUGUAGGAGCAGUACCUAUUUAUCUACUUGCACUUUGACGUGCUUUCAAACUGCUAGGUGGGCAGGAGCAGGGACCGAGCAACAGGAGCUCACCCUGUCAUGGGGAUUCGAACCGCGACCUUCUGAUUGGCAAGUCCUAGGCUCUGUGGUUUAACCCACAGCAUCACCUGCGUCCCCAAGGUGUUCAUACCAUAUUAUAAAGCCCUAAAUGGCUUGGUACGCAAUUACUUAAAAGAGCUCCUUCCCCAAUAUCAACCACCUCACACCCUACAAUUGGCAGGCGAGGCCUGGUUGGUGUUGACCCAUAACAGGAACUUUCCACUGGUGGCCCCUUGCUUGUGGAUUGCCCUUCCUGGUGAGAUGUGUCUGUCUUCCUCAUUACUGACUUGUUUAGCUAGGCAUUUGAUGGUUGAAAUGUACACCCUUGAAAUCACUGGUUGUGAUAAUACUUUUAACUGUUUUAGGCUCUUUCAGGGGAAACGGUAGGAUGUAAGUUGAAUAAGUUUUAAAAAAACAAAACUAUGUUGAAUUUUGAAUGUGAAUUACUUAAAAAACAUAGGUAUUUGAUCCAGUUUUGGCCUAGAAGGAAAACACACCUGUGCAAAAGUAUCUGUUUAAGUGGCUGUAGGAUUGCAAAGCCUAGAUGCAAUGUAACUCUGAGUGAAAUGUGUAUACACAAGAACAUCUGAGCCUUUGAUUGAUGCAAAUCACUGAGUUUACUGAAGGAAUGGAAGAGCAAAUGGAACCAGCUAAAAUUCUAAAGGGGAGGUGAAUUUUCCUUAGAAACCUACUGUUUGGGGUUAGGAAAGUGGAAUUAAAAAAAUGAAAAUUCCCUCUGGGGAUUUAGUAUUUGCCAUGACUGAGCACCUGGAAUUUCCACUUGUGUGGAUUGUUCAGACAUGUUACAUAGCAACAAGCUUUUAUGUAUGGUGGCAAGCAGGAAUGGGUGCCUUUGUCACUGUGGAAAUGGUGGGUGUGACCCCAAUAGUGGGGCAUGGAAUUAGAGAGGUAUGGACCUGCUUCAAUCCAUUCUGCCAGUCAUUCACACUUUCAUCUGGGAUUUUCCAUUCCACUACAAAUGGUGUAUUUUGCAGAACUAUGUCUUCCAUUUCUUUGUCCACUGAUGCAGAAAUAUAAGGUUCUGGUACAUAUAUCAUAGCCUGUAAUCUCACAUAUGUAUCAGCCAUCAACAGAUAUCUACAGAUAGUUCCCUUCUCUGUGUGUUCCCUUUCAAAGUAAUUUCCAGAGAUGUAGCCCUUGUAGUCUUUUACAGCAAAAACAACAAAAUGUUGUGGCACCUAAAGUUUACAAAGUGGCUAAUGGCUACAAUUUUAACCAUGUCUACUCAGAAGUAAGUAAGCCUGUGAGGUAGGUUAGGCUGAGAGAGAGAGUGACUGGCACAAAGUCCCCCAGUGAGCUUCAUGGCUGACAGAGGAAUUGAACUCCUUGUCUCCAAGUUCCUUGACUGACACUUCUCCCUCAUGGGCUGUCUGCACAAGAGGCUUCCAUCCUUUUGACUGAAAGCCUUCUAAAAUCAUGUUGUUGUUGUUGUUGUUGUUGUUGUUGUUGUUGUUGUUGUUGUAUUUAUUCAUACCCCACCUUUUUAUCCUGACAGGAACUCAAUGUUUCCGUUGCUAAUCUGUUUGUGUAUUGUGUAAUAAGUAUAUUAAAUAAAUUAAUUGUGUGUGUGUGUGUGUGUGUAGUUUAUAUAUAUAUAUAUAUAUAUAUAUAUAUAUAUAUAUAUAAAUAUAAUUAAUUAUAUUAAUUAUAUUAAAUUAUAUAUAGAGAGAGAAAAUUUAAUUAUAUAUAUUCAAUUACAUAUAUUAAUUGUAUAUAUUAAAUAAUAUUAACUAUGUUGCAAACACUUUAAUUUAUGAUAUGGAAAGUUAAUUCAGUGUGUGGCUCACGGGUUUUGUGUUGAAGUACUCUUGCAAGGUGGACCACCCUGAUCUAGAGGGUCAUGUUUUCCUCACUCUUCUUCUACUACCUCAGUACUCUCACCCUAUCCCUAUCUUAAUUGUUCUGCCCCUUCACAGGAUCAACCUGAGUUAACCAGGGACACAAGUGAUAGCUUUCAAAGUGUUUCAGAUUCAAAGUGUUGGUGCUGACCUUUAAAGCCCUAAACGACCUCGGCCCAGUAUACCUGAAAGAGCGUCUCCACCCCCAUCGUUCAGCCUGGACACUGAGGUCCAAUGCCAAGGGCCUUCUGGUGGUUCCCUCGCUGUGAGAAGUGAGGUUACAGGGAACCAGGCAGAGGGCCUUCUCGGUAGUGGCGCCCACCCUGUGGAAUGCCCUCCCAUCAGAUGUCAAGGAAAUAAACAACUAUCUGACUUUAGAAGACAUCUGAAGGCAGCCCUGUGUAGGGAAGUUUUUAAUGUUUGAAGUUUUAUCGUGUUUUACCAGAUGGGCAGGGUAGGAGUGAAUGAAUAAAUUAAAUUAAAUUAAAUUAAAUUAAAUUAAAUUUUAAAUUAAAUUAAAUUAUUAUUUCAGCAGAGUGUUUGUGAGAGUCAGUAAAGCUGUUGAUAUUUAGUGUACCCCUAAAUCCUGGUGAAUGUUGUACAGCCAGUGCUGCUGGGGCAUUCUUCAUGUUCUGGCAAAUUGUCUUAGGCGAACAAUGCAUAGGAGACUGUAGUCGCACUAAGGUUCUGCUUAUGAGUUUCCCCAGCGCACCCGCAUGGCUGCUGUGAGAGCCUGCUGGAUCAGGCCUUUCUUAUGUUCUUCUGUUUCUCCACCAGUCCCCCAACUUCUGAAGAAAACCAAGCCACACAAAGACUAUUUCCAUUGCCUAGAGAACAAAGUGCAAAGUAAUAAUAAUAAUAAUAAUAAUAAUAAUAAUAAUAAUAAUAAUAAUAAUAAUAAAAAUGACUGCUUCAGAGAAUUAGCAGCUAUUCUGCAAAACAUUCCACAGGAGCCAGAUCCAUCAAAUGUAACCGUUAUGUGAGUGCACAUCCAUUUAUUUCCACUAAAGGUUAAUUGCAAAAAAGAAGAGAAAAAAGUUUUGCAUUUGAAAAGUUCAGGGUGUAAUAAUUAGUUAGCUAUUACUGGUUGGGGAAGUCACACAACACUGGAGUUGUUCCAGAAGAGGAUAAGCAUAAAAUAUUUGGCACUCUGAGGAGUACAAUUCGCAUGUGAGAAUGCAGGCACAUGGAUUUCUGGACAUGGCUUUCUGCAAAUCUUUAUAGGAAGUGCAGGGGGAAGAAAUGAUUAAUUAGGCAGUGACUCUUCUACCCUUCAGAGGAGGUUUGUUGAGAAGCAGCUAGGGGAAAUUUCAACAUGUUGCAACACAAAGUCAGUGCAAAAGCAUUUUCUUUAACAAUAUAACAUCUGAUUCUCAAUGCAAAACAUUUUUGGACCUUGUUAUGUGCUUUAGUAACCUUGCCAAACUUUUUAAUGGCUAGGCAUUUUCCUUAUGAUUGGCUUUCCCCCACACUAAUUGUUAUAUAAGCAUUUCAAACAACAUUUCCCCAUGUCAUCUUUUGCUUCAUGUUACAUAAGUCAAUUCAGGAACAGACUGGUAAGCCACUAAAAGCUUCACUGACACAAAGUUAAAUGGAAACUAUUUAUAAGGAGACAUGCAUACAUACAUCUAUUGAGAGAUUUCAGGAGUGGGCCAGUGGGGGGGUGGGGGUGGCAGGGAGAGCAGCCUGACCAAAAUCCCACACAGAGCUCUGAUCAGUAUCCAACAGAGAUGUCCAAAACCUGCUUUUAAAACACACACACUUACACAUUGCUGCUGCCUUUUCCCAGUUCAGCAACUAAAAUCUUACAGAAAAAUAAAAUAAUAACCUGCCUUGCUCUUAAACUUCAAGAAUUUCAAGUGCACUUCAGAGUACAGUAAUAUAGAUCUGCCCUGUAUUGCUCCUGUGGGGUUAAAUAAACGAUAAAUAGUGGGUGUAAAUGUGGGUGGAAAAUGUAUCCAGCACUGUUGAAGAACUCGAUAGGCCCUUCUUCUCUCCCCUCUCAGUAAUGCAGAUCCUUUUUCAAAUAGCCAUGAGGGAUUGCACAACCAACUCGAGACAUUUUGCUGAAACUCCUCUGUCUUCCCUCCCACUUCCUCUUGUGUUGUUGUUUAGUUGUUUAGUCGUGUCCGACUCUUCGUGACCCCAUGGACCAGAGCACACCAGGCACUCCUGUCUUCCACUGCCUCCCGCAGUUUGGUCAAACUCAUGCUGGUAGCUUCGAGAACACUGUCCAACCAUCUCGUCCUCUGUUGUCCCCUUCUCCUUCUGCCCUCCAUCUUUCCCAACAUCAGGGUCUUUUCCAGGGAGUCUUCUCUUCUCAUGAGGUGGCCAAAGUAUUGGAGCCUCAGCUUCAUGAUCUGUCCUUCCAGUGAGCACUCAGGGCUGAUUUCUUUCAGAAUGGAUAGGCUUGAUCUUCUUGCAGUCCAUGGGACUCUCAAGAGUCUCCUCCAGCACCAUAAUUCAAAAGCAUCAUUGUACCAUGUCAUUAAAAAGUCCAGUGAGGUAACUAAAGCACAUAACUAGAAUAAAGAUACAUCUCACCUUUAGUUAGGGAUUCUUUCUCCUUGGAUCAAACCUCAGCACCAGUUCCUAUUCUGAAAUGAAACCUGUGAGCUCAUGGGCUGUUUCUUUUCUGGACCAGGGAUAUCUCAUUGAUCAUCGCUGCUCCAUUGACUAAGAGCUCAUCCACACUGCCACUUAUUCUGCCACCUUGCUCUUUACCACUGAAUCGGAGCAAACGUCACCGAGGUUUUCUGUGGACUGGCAUUUGCUCUGGUUCAGAGUUAAAGAACGGGUUUCCCUGGGGGAAACGGGGGCAAAUGAAAAACCGCAUUGAUGGAAGGAGCAAGUCUGCCCAGGUCCUCCUUGGAUUAAAUUGACAUUUCCCCUGCUUGCCCUCAUCAAAACUGGGGUGGGCGAGUGGGCAUCUGAAGCCAAUCAGAUUGGGUAAGGCAAUUCAGCUUCACCCACCCUCCCAUGCCCCACCAAAGUCAUUCAUACCAGCCUCACAAACACUCCCCUAUUCCACUUACUUAGUGCAUUGACUGGGAAGUAGGAGCAACAGUGGGGGUCACUGCAGUUUGGGAAAACUCCCUGUACCUUCCACCAACCCUUCUAAGCAUGCUUCUGAAUACCAGUUACCAGAAGCCGAGGUGGGGAGAGCACUUGGGUCCUGCUUGUGGGCUUCCCAUAAGCCAGAUGACUGGCCACAAUGAGAACAGGAUGCUGGGCUAGACUGGUCACUGGUCUGAUCCAGAAGGCUCUUCCUAGGUCAAGUGACAAGCGUACUACAGGAGGGUAGUUCUUGGUGUUCUUGCAACGGUAGUGCAUUUUACCAGAAAGGGUUUCUUUCCCUUUUUCUUUUAAGAAAGGUAUUGUUUUCUGGGUACUCAUAUAGUGUUUCAUUAGAGGACAUGGAAACAUUCAUAAUACUCAUAAUCUGUUUUUAGAUUAGGAUUGCCCCACAUGGCACAUCUUAGCUUGAUUUCCACCUGUUGCAACAAAUGUCAUUUAUAUCCUAUGCCUGCAUUUAAUCACUUGGUUUUUUGAGCAUGUGUUUUAGUUGGGAAUUGACUGUGUUUAUCUAGAAAAAAAUUAUGCAGUGUGUUAAUCAGUUAGGGCUUUUUUUUUUUUAGCAAAAAAGUAGAAACUUUAUUUAAAUUUUGCUGAGUCAACAGCCCCAUUCAGAAAGGCUAUAUUGAUUUAAGCAGUUCUAUUGAUCCCCUUCGUAUCAAAUCUGAGCUGCUAGCAAACUCACAGGUCGGUGAUGUUCUCUUCAAUUGAUCCAUGCUUGGCUCACUGCAAAUGCUUUUCAACAAUAUUUUAAGUAACAUCUGGUAAAAAUCAAUGUUUCAACCUUAGGGGGUUUAAAACACCAAAUGUUCAAACAUUUUAGAACUUUUUGGUGCCAUUCUAAAAAGUUACUUGGCAACUGUAAUCCAAAGGGCCUAUCCAGUUAAUUCUAAUGUAGGGGGUUAAAAGUACCAGUUAAGCAUAUCCUAUCUCUGAAUUUUGGUAGUAUACUUAUCUUUCCUGGUAUAAACUGCCAACAGGGACCUAAUGUUCCUUCCUGCAUAAUACUAAUACUAAUACUGUCCGACAGGACAGUAAACAGCUGUCCUGGAUGAGGAAUUCAAUUUUUAAUUCCAGUUUCCCAACCCCAAACAGUUGAUUUCUGCAGAAAAUCUGUGCGUUUGGAUUUAGUCAGGAUCCAUUUGCAUUGCAGCUCCUUUAGUAUCAUGAUGGAAUUCUUCUACAGCUAGAAUGGAAAGCCUAUAGCCUUCCUGAUACUGCUAAAUUCCAUCUCCCGUCAGCCCCACCCAACACAGCCAGCAAUCAGGGAGUAAUGUUGUAGUAGCAGUAACAUUUGGAGUGCCACAGAUUCCCUCUCCCCCAUUUUCCAGGCACACAUAUAUGUUGUUGUUGUUACUGUUGUUUGAACCUUAGAUUUAAGCAGCAAGAUACCUGUGGAAGAAGUAACUGACUUCACUGGGAACACCUAAGCUCUCCUAAGGUGCAGUCAUGCUAAGAGGGAACAUGGAUCGACUAGGGUUGCAGGAAUGUGCAUUUAGUUCUGUUGCAGAGGCCAUGUCAUGUCUCCUGGCCCCUCAUGUGAUAAUGUGAACUUCUACAGUUCAGCUAAUUUCAGGCCAAUCAGACACUUGCUAACAAUUAAAUUUUAAAAAGAGAACAUUAGUACCAUAAUUUUGUAAGAUAUCGAAUGCAUGUGAAAAUUUCAACUCUGUUUGAGGCUCAUUAGUCACAUCUCUGGAUCUCCAUGUAUGUUGAAUACCACAAUGGCCAAUAGCUGAGACUCUAAUAAUGAAGUACCUCGGGUUAAAACUUUGGCUCUAUCUUCAACUGAUUUGGCCUACCAGCAAUGGUAUUGAAUUGGUAUUGAGCUCAUAUGGAUAGGAUGUGUGAUAGAUGUACCAUUUGUGUUCCAGAUCUUGUCUGCUAUAGAAUUUAGUAGAAUAUUCUGACUUAUUUUUGCUUCUGCCUCAGGCUUUGACCCUUGAAUCUUCCAGGCUCACAUUGUGCUUCAGGUGUUGUAAGAGAAGAUUUUUAUCAAUGAGAAUGUAAGAAGCUGAAAUGUAGAAAACACACCAACCUUAGACCAACUAUUGUUAGCUUCUAUGGUGUUUUUGAAUUAUGGUGCUGGAGGAGACUCUUGAGAGUCCCAUGGACUGCAAGAAGAUCAAACCUAUCCAUUCUGAAGGAAAUCAGCCCUGAGUGCUCACUGGAAGGACAGAUCGUGAAGCUGAGGCUCCAAUACUUUGGCCACCUCAUGAGAAGAGAAGACUCCCUGGAAAAGACCCUGAUGUUGGGAAAGAUGGAGGGCACAAGGAGAAGGGGACGACAGAGGACGAGAUGGUUGGGCAGUGUUCUCAAAGCUACCAGCAUGAGUUUGACCAAGCUGCGGGAGGCAGUGGAAGACAGGAGUGCCUGGCGUGCUCUGGUCCGUGGGGUCACAAAGAGUCGGACAGGACUAGACGACUAAACAACAAAAAUGGUUAUAAAAAUAAUUUAGAUACCACCUUUCAUUGCAAGAAGAAAUGCCAAGGCCCUACAGCUUGGAUCCCAUUGUUAAAGAUGUAUAAAAAUGUAAGGUUAAUAAGGUCAGUGAAAUCAUAGAAUACACCCUAUAUAUCAUAUUAAUUCUCCCUCUAUAUUUCAGAGAAAAACUGAAUGGAUAAAUAGGUCUUUCAAAAUAAAAUUCCAAAUCUAGCAAGGUUAGAAAUAAAGGAAGGAAUUUUCUUCUGAACAAAUGGCAUUUUCAGUGUACUAAUAUAUUUUUUCCCUGUGAUCACCCUGACUUUAUCUAAUAAUCUACCUCCUAUUUACUGCAGCCUAAUUUCAUUUGGUUUUAGUGAUCACUACUUUUCCAUUUAAAGUGAUCUGAUUAGAACUUCAGAUAUUUCCAUUUUUCAACAUAUUGCACAUCUCCUGCAAGUCUCCCUACCAUAGAUUCAGGUGGAAUUUGAUUAAAGUGGACAAUUUACUUAUGAUGCAUGGUCGGUUUAAGACACUCGAGCAGGCAAGAAGGCGCCAGCACAAUUUUGAUCCAGCUUGGGCACCAGUUAACUUCUCUUUGUCCUUGAUAUAUAAUAAGGAUUUUAGGAAAUUGCAUCAGAUUUCUCUUAUAUAAGAGUGAGGCUGUGCUUCUUGAUAAGCAUCACAAAUGUCUUGUCUCCCUCCUUUCCCUCUUCAGAAACGUAUGCCUCCCUCCUCACUCCUCGGUAUCUAAGCUAGAUUAUAGCACAGGCCUUUCUCAUUGCAUGUGCAAUGAGGCUAGCAGAUGUAAUGAUUUUGUGUCUUGUAAUGUUGUUUAUUGACAAGGUUUAGCGCAGUUCAGGGAUGUGGCUAAUUUCCUCCCUAUACUGCAAAAGAAAACAAAAUGCAACAAACAAACAAAAAGCCUUCUCGGUGGUUGAUGACAGCGGCGCUGCAAACAAAUAGCUCUGCACUGAUGUUUUGUAAUGUUGCUGAUUCUUUAAUGAAGAAACCUCACUAAAAAUUCAUGGUGAAUGGAUAGUAAGCUCAUUAGCACAAUGGUAAGAAAAGAUUUUUAAACACUACCUCUAGUAGGCAGAAUAGCCGUCGGGGUACGGUUUGCAUUGACUGCAAUGCUGCGGAUGUACCACACAGGUAAAGCACAUUCAAAGUGCAUUAUUCCCCGCCCCCCAAAUAAUCCCGGGAAUUGCAGUUUACCUUUCGAAGAGCUACAAUUUUCAGAAACCCCAAAAUAACUACAGUUCCCAAUGUUUUUUGGGGGGGAAAUAAUGUGCUUCAAAUGUGUUUUAAAUAUAGGGUGUGUAAGCAGCAGGCUAAUGCAACAUGCACACGAAAGCUUAUACCAAGAACAAACUUAGUUUGUCUCUAAGGUGUUACUGGACAUUUUAUUUAUUUUUAUAUAUAUUUUGACUGCAUCAGACCAACACAGCUACCUACCUGAAUCUUACUGUGCCAUUUGCUUUAGUGCACAUGCUUGCUGUGGUCAUGUAGCAUGCCGUUAUCAGUAGUGACUGGUGAACUUCCUUUAGCUCACCUUGUUUCCAACAAGUUCCUCUAGAGUGGGGGGAACGAACUAAGAAAAAUGUUAAGAGCUGUAAUGGGAGAUGAUGAUGAUGUUAUUAUUUAUACCCUGUCCAUCUGGCUGGGUUUCCCCAGUGGCGUCAGCACUACAAUGGUUUGAAAAAUGUUCCUAUUUUUGAGACACUUCAACCUCUGUGAGCUUGCUCCCAAAGUGACUGCUUUCUGAGGAAUUUAUUGAAGCACCAUUUCCUUUCCCCCUUUCACACUCAAUUGAAUAUACUGGAAAGUGAUCAGGCCUUGGAUCCAAUUGUCAGUAAAAUCAAGAGGGGGGGAAAUAUCCCAUCUUUAUAUGAAUGAUUUCCAUAAAGGCUGAGAUGUGUCCAACUUGCAUAAGAAUGCAUGUUGUAGAUGAACAAAGGCUGGCCCUAGAAUGGGGAGGUUUUGACCUUUGCUCAUUCUUGACUUAGUAGAUCAAAGGAGAUGAUACAAACAGAGCAGAGCUCCAGUUGGAUUAAGAUGCAAUGGAUCUGAGUGAUGCUGGUUGCCAGUUGCUCAGAGAUGCCAAAACAGAAGUAGUUUACACAAGAAAGGCACAGAGUUGCAUCUUAGAUUGGCAAGUGCAGAUAAAUACUGGGGAGAUAAUAAUUCACCUCCUUCAACAUGUACAUGUUGGUGCAUGAAAGGGACAAUGGAGAAACCGUUAAACCCCUCACUGGAGGCAGUAGUAAUUAUUUGAUAAAUUUGCAGGAGAAAUAUGAAGCCAACCUCCUAAAUUAAGGCAGAAGCUGAAUAAUUUGUAUAGUGCUAUUAAUACCAUUUAAAUUGAUUGCCUUAAGAUUUGUUGUUGUGCUGUUAGAUUAAAUGAUACAUCAAUGUCAGUUUUGCAGUGGAGACCCUCCCCCUUCAAAUCAAUCAUUGACUAGAUUCAGUUCCUUUUCCUCUUGUGGUUUUAAAUGUUUUAAAACGAGUUAUGCAGAGCCUAAAUUGUCCUUAAGUUGCAUCUCCUUUAUAUGAGUACUUUACUUGGGAAUGAUGGACUUGAGAAGUUCUAUUUUCAAGUGCAACAGAAGAAUCAUAUGCACAUACAUUGUUUUAACUGGUCUUAAUAAUAUAUUUAUAUGUUGUUGUAACUUGACCGGGGACCUUAUGGUAAAGGGAAGGUAAGAAAUCUAAUUAAUAACAAUCAGUCAAACAAGAACUGAACCAGAAUGUUUCUCAUUUUAAAAUCGAAAUGGUGUUUAGCCUUGAUAAAGUUAGAAAACAGCAAUGUCAGGACUGCCAGAUACAAAAUAUCACAUCUAUAUGGGAUGCGUUCAUUAAUACUGAAGUUACCACAACCACAGUCAUGGAAAAUCUGUAAUCACGGCUCCUUUAGUUUAUACUGCAGUUAUCUCAAUGUUUCUAUUCUUACUUAAAAGCAGUGGUGUGUGUGUGUGUGUGUGUGUGUGUGUGUGUGAGAGAGAGAGAGAGAGAGAGAGAGGUUUUGAUCAAAGCAGAAGAGGGGAUGGGUCAGUUACUGUAUCCCAACAAUCUAAAUUGUUUCUCUGCGACUGUUGCUGCCCUGCUAAAUAAGCAAUUGAGAUGCAGGUCUGAUUUAACUCAGAUCAGUUUAUUCUGAGCCAAAUUUCCUAAUUUGGGUGGAAAGUAGUUUAGCUUGUUCCAAACCAAUCUAAGAAUCCAGGGACUGGAAGGAAGAGAUUAGUCUCCAGCUACGCUACUCCAUACUUCAUUUUCACUUAUUCCAAAACUGUUCUCCUUUUCAAGCCUUACCUCCUCACUUUUUUUAUCCCCGUGUUUCCUAUACUUACAGUUAUUCACAACUUCCUUCUUUUAAGUUAGAUUGGUCUAAAAUACAGCCAACAUAAUUGUGUUUGCAGUGGGUCUUCUGGGAUAAGAACCUGCACAGCCUCUGAUUUGUUUACAGGUUGCAAGGGUGCGUUGGAGGUUGAAAGGAAUGGAAAAAGAAUCAAUAGCCACUGGCAAGAUCAUGGCCUCUGUAUUUAUGUGCAAGGAAAGUAAUAUAUAAUAAUCUUAACUGAACACUUAACGUUCAUGGUAUAAUUUUUUUAAAACCUGGAAACACGACCAUGAUUGAUGGGAAGGAGAGGAAGUUAUAGAUAGGGCAAAAUUAAAUUUGUCCAUGUGUCAUAAUGCAUGGUGCUCCAUUAAUGUAUCUCCUAUAGUUAUUUAUAAUUCUAGUGGCUUAAGUGUGUGGUUGUAGUAUAGUUCACCAUGUUCAUGUGGGUAUACAAUUAUAAGAGCAUUGCCACAUUUUCUAACCUUUUAGUAUUUCUUCAUAGUUGGAAAUGUGUCAUUGUUCAUGACAUUCCAUAGGUCCUCUAGGGAGCUGGGAGUGGAGAAAUGGACCCAUCCUUUUACGCUAUGUUGCAUCCUUUGCCUCCACCAUCUGUAUUUAGUAUGGUGACUUAUGCAUCACACACACACAAAACUGAAAAAGGAUAGGCAGACAAAAGAAGACACAAUUUGCCUAGCAUUUGCAGAUACUAAUUUAUAUAUGUAUGUAUGUAUGGUGGUACCUCGGGUUAAGAACUUAUUUCGUUCCGGAGGUCCAUUCUUAACCUGAAACUAUUCUUAACCUGAAGCACCGCUUUAGCUAAUGGGGCCUCCCACUGCCACAGCGCCACCGCCGCACAAUUUCUGUUCUUACCCUGAAGCAAAGUUCUUAACCUGAGGUACUAUUUCUGAGUUAGUGGAGUCUGUAACCUGAAGCGUCUGUAACCCAAGAUACCACUGUACAUGAAUGGCCACUCCAUCCCUUUUCCCACUAGCCCCAGGUCUUUCCCCUCUAGGGUUGAAUCCUCCUCAUUUUUGCCAUUCUCAAAUAUCCCAGGCCAGGCUUGGAGGGGAGUUAGAGCCUAACAUAGUAGCUUCUUGCCUGGCAAGUCCCCUCAUGUCGCCUUUUUCUGAAGCCAAAGUUCCCAAUUUCUUAUCACUGUUCUACCAACAACAGUGAUAAAGUGUAACAAGAGGACAGAACACUGGGGACUGGCAAUGUAUUGCCGUAUGAACUGCAUGUGCUGUACUGCACCGUUGAAUCCUUGGGUACAAUGAGGCACAUUGAUUGCUACACAAGUGUAAUAUCAGAAAUCAAUCCAGUGUGCAGGUGCAAUUGCCCAUACACACAUUUUGAGACGCGGUGUUUCUGCAUCUGCGCCGAGUCUAUUAGAAAUAAUAUACUGUGGUUGAUUCUGCAACAGGCAAGACACGCUCAAGGGAAUAAAGCAAACAAAACUGACAACCUCGCAGCUCAUUUUAAUGGCUCCCCGAACAGUCACCUGGUUAAAAGAUUACGUUUGCAAUGCUUUAAUGCAAUGAUGAGUUAAGAAAGUUCAAGAAACUCUGCACUGUUUCUUUAUGAUGAUGAUUAUAAAAAUUGCUUCAUGUUUCCCUGAGAUGCAUUCAAGCUGGUGACCUAGAGGUGGAAGCUUUGGUGUCUUAUUACCAUUCCCAUGAGCCAUGCAUGAAUUUGUGGACCUCUCCGGAGCAAUUCCAUGGUCUGCAGCAGCACACCUAUCAGGGCAGGAAAGCUGAUUAGCUGCAGCCUGCUUUGCACUGGAAUUUAGAUAUCAAGCUUCUUGUGAGCUUGAAGAGGCCCUGUUUUGCUUUGCAUUCCUGGAUUUAUUACUAAGCAAAACCAUCCCUCCAGCAAGCUUACUCUUACCAGGGAGAUAUUUUACCAUCUUCCUUCUCGCCGCUGAAAUAGUUUUCUGCAGCAAAGGUGCCUGAAUUUAGCUCCAGCUAAUUAAAGCAAUGAGAAUCUUUCCUCACCCCAUCUCAUUUCGUUAUAUUGAAAUUGCCUUGCAUUCUAUCCCACACCUUCAUUGUAAUACCAGGUUAUUGUUGUUGUUUUUACAGACACACAACUUUGAAGGCUUUAGUGCUGUUUUUUAAAGUAUAUAAUUAUUUUCAACCUUUCAGACAUGGCUUACUACAGGCAUGUCCAACAGGUCGAUCUUGCUUGACUCAUCGAUCGCGGGGGUGUAUUGGAUCGAUUGUGGUAUCAAGAUAGUGAUCGCCUUUGUGUUUCAUUUUUGUAGUAAAAAAAAGAAAGAAAGCUCAACAACUUUGGUCAAGACUUCCCUAAAAAAAGCUCAGCAACUACUGGCAAUGACAAUGGAUAGAUCACAGCUGGUCUUUUUAUACUGUGAGUAGAUCGCAGUUUCUUGGGAGUUGGACGUGCCUGGCUUACUAUAAAGACUACCCUUUGCCAACUAGGUGCCCACCAGAUGGUUGGGGCCUAAAACUCCCACCAUCCCCAAUCCUUGGCCAUUCUGGCUGAGGAUGAGUUGUAGCCCAAAACAUAUGAAGGCCACCAGACUGGGGAAGGCUGGUCAUGCCCUGAACUUACUACAAAUAGAUGAGAAAGUAGAACAUUGAAUUUGAGCUUCUGGUAUAUUAUACUUCUGCAAUGUUUUUCUUUUUUCUUUUUGAAACGGGUAGUAACUCAGAAGGCUUUACUACAUGAAGGCAAUGAACAACUAGAAAAGUGAAGAUAGUUUCUGGGUGAGAUACAGGUUUGGUUUUUUAAAGUACAGAUUUUUUAUGUUUAUCUUCCAUAUCAAAGUUCAUGAGUUGCUUUUGGGUAACUUGUUAUUCAACACUGCUACCAAAAAAAUGACGAGAAACUGAUCCUUCAGACAUUCAUCUGUUUGUCAUGUUCCUAAAGCUCAUAACUUGGGACAAGGUUACCUGAAAGACUGGCUGUCCCUCUGUAGACCCAUAAGAUCAGUGAGAUCAUCUGGAGAAAUUCUACUUAUGGCAUUUCACCCUGUAGAAUAUCAUAGGGCAGUGACUGCCAGUAACUGCAUUUUUUGCUCUUGUCUCUGUCCUGCAGAGUGCCCUUCCUUCUGUUAUACAGCAGACAUCUGAAGCUCUUGUCUGUUCAGAAUUAAAUUCCAUUGUCCUUAUUUCCAGGCAGGGGACUAUAGGAUUGCCGCUUAAACUAUCUCCAUUACUAGCUUCCCUACACACCUACCACAUCCAACCUUAUUGUGUUCUUAAGGUGGUCAGAGAGUAUUCUGUUCCUUCUCUUCAUCUGAUGAUCAGUAUUCUGAAAACACCCAUACCUUUGCUUUCCUGUUUUCUGAUAUGUGAACAGUCAUCAUCUUAUAAGCCACAUGGAUGCUAAAGAAAUCCUCCCCAGGGAGCAAGGCAUGUGCAAAUAUUAUUCACCCGGAAAUUCCAGUUAAUUAGGUCAUGGCAAGGGCUCUGACACAGCUUAGGUCUUAUUCUGUAGAGUACUUAGUUUAAUGCAGGGACAGAGAACCCUUUUCAGCUCAGGGGCCACUUUCCCUCAUGGACAGCCCUUCUGGAGGCCGCAUGCCAAUGGUAGGUAGGGCUAGGAGGAAAGUGGUUGGAGCAAUGGAUGUAAACGCUUCCCUCUGCACAGUUGGCUGGGUUCCAGCCAGCUAUUUUGACACCCCCUCCACCUACCAUCCAUUCUCCACCCACCAGCCAGAAAAACGAGAGGCAGCCAAGCACUGAUUCCAGCCAGGCAAAAGCACAUGAGGACGAUUCAAAGCAAAGCUGGUAAGAGGGUUGGGCCUAGGGAGAGUCCAGGGCAGCAGAGAGAUUCCUCUGCUCCUGACAUCAUGUCUAAUCCAGUCAUGAGAGGGAAAGGAAAGGAUAGAGGCAAAUGGAGCAAGGCGGGUGGAGGGAGGAUGCUCACAGCAUUUUGAAGCUGAAAAAAUCUCUCAACUAAAUUAUGCUUCAUUAUUCAAAUGGCGCUCCUUUUGCACAGAGAGAUCUUGUCUGGUGCUUAUAUGCAAGCCUGCCUUGCACAUUGUGGCUCUGGGUAUGAGCUACAUUCCAUUUACAAUAAUUAACCUGCUCUUCCUUUAUGCAGUGGAAGCUUCUGUGGUACACAUUCUCUCCCUGAAUUAGAUAUCCAGCUUUGGUGUAUUUUUAUACCUAAUUAGACCUAACCUGUCACAUAGCAAAUAGCUCUAUCUAUUGUGUGAUUUAUAACGUCUUUUUCUAUGCAACUGUAUAUUAUCUCAACAAUUCAAAUCCUUGAAUGUAUUUUAAGUAGAGAGAUGUAAACAGCUUGUUUAACUUGACCUUCAGAUGCCCUUUCCUGCUCAAUCCUGAGCUGAUUUCAUUGGUAUACAAUAUGCACUGUAUUUUCAGCCUGUUACUAUAGAAAAGAGCUGUGAAAUGGCAUUUCCCCUUCCCGUUUCUGAUGCCUGUCAUGCUUCGUCAAUGCUGACAAGCAAUUAUUAGCCUUUGUUUCUUUUAUACUGUAUAUUGGCAAAACAAUCAUUGCAAGGAAUUGUAGAGGUAGAAGCCAUUAUCUUUGUACUGUAGUGGUAACAUAGCUUUUAGGCUUACUGAAAAUAUCCAUUAGGUUCUGUCCUCUUAUCUCGAAAUGCUUUUCUGCUCCGCUUUUGAGUUGCUCUGGGAGUUAAAUCGCCAACUUCGCCGACACUAAGAAAGGAUACGAUAACUUUAUUCUCUCUCAAGUUGAUUUUUAUUUUGGACUAGCCUUUGUGUGGUACUGAAUACACCUUCUGUUCAGUUCAACCCUAGUUAGAUUCCUUUUUCCCCUUACCCCUUUUUAAAUUAAUUGAUUUGUUUACACAGGUAAGUUGUUUACAGUUGAUCCAAUAUACAUAAAACUGACAGACAGAUAUACAAGUAUGCAAAUAUCAUUAAACAUCUAUUAAAUACUCAAAUGAAGCAUAUACAUUUCAUGAAGUUCCCAACAAUGAAUGUUGAUGGACAUUAACUUGUGCCUUAUUGCACCUACAAAUUAUAAAAAUGCUCCAUUUUUUCACAUAAGGUUAUCCAGCUGCCUCCCCUCUCUGACUUGGGGAUCAUCCAUAAUUCCUCUUGUUCCACUGCUUUCCCCUGGGGAAAACUGAUAUUUAGCACUCAGUUGCAGCAAAUGGCAAUUCGUGCUUUCCUCUCAGAAGUGUGGAUGAACACUUUCUGUAUUUGUUUUUACUGUAGGUAUGGUAUCCCAAACUUUAAUAUCCACUUCUCCAGAUUCUGAGAAAAUUUGUCAGAUUCUGUGAAAAUUUGGGUUUUCUUAUUUGCAAUGAAAAGCCAUGCCUUUAAAAAUAAAUAAACUAUUUUUUUAAAAAAGAGGUCAUUCAUGACAACCACAUAAUAUAUCACUGAAUUCCUGUGUUUUGGAUGAUAAACCUACAGAAGACAUGUGGAGGUGGAAAAUAGAUCUGACCCACGUGUGGGUCUAUUGCGUGGACAGGCAGAGUCCCCAGAUCCCGAGCGGUCCCCCCUGUCAUGUGGAAUAACAACUCAAGACAAUGUGCUAUGGGAUUAAAUUGGCCACAACUUUAUUAAAUUUCAAAUGUGGGUAGACCUUGGCUCAGGCAUUGGGCGUUCUCCCUCCCCAGUCCCCAGCCGGGGACCUAGGGAGCAUCAGGGUUAUCCAGUGUGUGUGUGGGGGGGAUGGGCCGGCUCUGGAGAACAUAUGUUCAAGCAGAGAUAGCCGCCCCCGUUACGCCGCCGCCGCAGGGGAGAGCUCUUGCCCCCCCACCCCUCUAGCAAUGAACAGACCACACAUUAUUAAGUAAAUUUAAAAGCUGUACUUACUAAAGCUAAAGGUCUGGUUCAUGUGUUAUUCCAUGCAGCAGCAAGGAGAACACAAGUAGAAUACUCUUGGGUGCAAAAAUACAGAUUAUAGUUUCAAGCAUGCAGUCUGAACUUUGGAGCAAGUUCAGACUCAUCCAGUUAAAAAACAACUCCUUUCUCUCCUGGUCUUUUUGGUGUGGUUAUUUAGAGGAAUGGUGCCUGUAUUGAGAAAGGACAGGGAAGCUUGGGUAGUCAUCUGAAGAGCAUAGCUGUUUUAGCAUCCUGUUUGAUUUUAUGUUUGAUUUUGUUUUGAAGAAUUUUGUUGUUGUGACCCUAGGGAUUGCAGUAGGCACUAGGAAUGAAUUUAUGGAACUAAAGUGGCAGUGGCCCCAUAAAAGUCUGGGAACCACUGAUCUCCAUGUAUCUGAUGGUUUGCAAAGUGUGGGAGAACUGUUAUGACUGUUUUGAAAUGUGCUGCAUCUUUCCAGGGCAGAGGCACCAUUGUGUUCAAGGCUGCUCACUUUUUUCCUGCAGUUUUGCUCCCAAAAUGACAAUGUAGAAAGAUGGGAAGAUAAAAAUGCUGGCCUUAGUACUUCUAUAAAGUGCGCUCUCUCUCUGUCUCUCUCUCUCUCACAUACCCUCAGAGAGUAAAAACAAACAAAAACAAACAAACACUUGGGAAAAAUUAUAAGUCUUUGUUUUAUUCCACUUUGCAAGCCACUGCCCUAAAUGAAGCCAAUAAAUGACUUUAGUAGCACAGUUUCCCAGCUGUGAUCCCUGCUUGCCAAAUUUCAGCCUAAAGCCAUUUUUACAGCUUAAUUGUAGCACACUUGUAAAUAGGGGGUUGCUUUUGGAAAGGUUGACAGACCCAUUGGUCUUGUGUAGCUACACAGGUGCUGCUAUAAUAAACACCUUGAAAGCUGUAAUAAGUUAAAGUUUUAGACUCCCUUUUGUGCUAAUAGCAAUGGCCUAUUCCUUGAGUAGAUAAGAGUGGCCCUCAAACACAUGCUGCAGGUUCUGUUGGACAGGAUUUUGCACAAAAUUUACUUUCAGCUCCAUUCUUAUAAUUAUACUCCUUUUACAGUGUUUGGUAAGACUGAGAAAAUAACAGCCAUUGUUUUUCUCCCAGUGUGUAUGGGCCCUGUAAAAAUAGAAAAAUAAGCUAGAAUCAUGCCUUUUGGUUGAUUCUCAGAAAGGAGAAGCAAGGGGUGAUGCUGCGCCCAGUAUACCUCAUCUCCUUGCUUUGCACCAUUCUUGAUAGUUUUUGCAUGACUGUGCCGUUGGCCACUGAUAAUGAUUCUGACUUGCCUGGUUGAAGUAUACAGAGGUGUGUGUGUGUGUGUGUGUGUGUGUGUGUGUGUGUAGAAAUCAGUAUGCUUUUCCUUCUUCCCCUGCCCACCAUGGAGGCAUGUGGGCUCCAGAAGGUAGAUCAGAAGGGAAUUUGACCCUCAGCCUGAAAAGAGUUAUAGGGAAUGGCUGAUAGUGUGGAAUUUUAGCUCUUAAGAAAGGGUUUCAAUAUUAUGCUGCCUUAGGUUGAGAUCAUGCACAAAGUAUCUAGAUCCUACUAUGCACAUCCUGCCCCAUAUUGAGUGGGAGAGAAAUGAGACAAAAGUGGCUGAAAUAUUCCUCUCAUUGCUAUUUCUCCCCAAAGUGUACUUUGCCAUAAUAUCACGAUCAGGGGCUAACCUCAGCAUUGGAGGAGGUGAUUUUUUUGUGGAAGAAUGGUGUGAGGUAGGAAAGGGCUCACCUUCCCAUUUUGUACAUCAUGGUCUCUCUUCUCCAACUCCAAUGUAGCUAUUUCUGGAAAAAAACCCCAGAACAAGCCUGGGAGAGAUGAUCAUAUGGAUGAUGCGUCACCUAGCAUAGGUCUGACUGCACAGGAAAUAGAAAUACAUGAGAUAAACCCUGUGUGAACGUUGAAGCUCCUCAGUAAACUAAAAUUACAGUUCGCCAACAUUACUCCAGUAACUUCCAUGCCAUCUUACUGGGUAGAACACCUGCAUCAUUUCUGUCUUAACUCUUUGAUCCAUCACCAGGUUUAGUCCUUCAAAUUUGGUUCCUGAAUGCAUGUGUCUCAUGGGGCUAGAGAUGGAAUUUCUGUGGGUGACAACAACCCUGCUCCCUCCCUGCCAGCCUAUGCUGCUGCUGAACCAGAGCUGUGUCUAAUUCAUUCAUUCAUUCAUUCAUUCAUUCAUGCCACCUAGAUGCCUGUAAAACAUACCAGGUCAGUCUCCUCACCCAUGAUUUAUAUGUGAGCUGCAUGCUCAAUCAUGGUUAAGGAGGACACAUCUUUUGUUCUCUACCUACAGGGAUGGGCAUAUUUAAAAGCAUACUGUAUAAGGCAAGUUGGAUCAAGGCAUCAUACUUGAUAAACUAUUGGCUCUAAGCCCAUGCAGGGCAGGUUUGUGAUCUUCUCCAAAGCCAACCUUCCCACUGAAUCUGUCUUCUCCCACUUUGGCUGCUCAAUAAGGGUACAACCAGCAACCUGGAUCAUUGUGACCAAUUUUUCUUUUGAGAAGGGACUGCUGAGGGGAGAGCUGACCAUUAAUUGUGGACCCCCGAUACAGGUAUUUUUUUGUAAAAAUAAAUAAAUGUUUGGUUGGAGAACCACACCACAAAUUUCAGGUGCUAAUUUCAAAGGAUGCCUGUAUUUCCGGUCAUAUUGUUUCAGAAAGUACUAAUUUGAUAGAUUUGCCUUCAAAUAGGAAUUGAAUCAAAUUCCUCCCUCAUACCUACAUGAGAGCUAUUUUUAAUGAAAAGGACAGAAUUUUCCCGCAUCUUUGAAAAGUAUCAUGUUUAGCUCAGUCAUGAGAAAAAAAGUUAUCUCAAGUGAUUAUUCAGAUGUCAGCUCACCUUAGCUUGCCACACAUCCUGUAUCUUUGGAAACUUCCUAUUUUUAGUCCUGAGCUUUCUCUGCAUUCAAAACUGCUGACAACACUGAAAUCCUUCCUGCACAAUUCAUUUGGCAAAUAAUUAGGAGCAACCAUUGCUGAUUUGCUUUAUGUGCAAUUUAAUGAGCCAUAUGUGGGCCACGUUAAAUUUAAGAUGUUGCAUAUUAUCUGGGCAAGUGAUAUUAUAUAACACAGUGUCAUGUAGCAUCUUGCAAGAUGUUUAAGGUUUCUGUAUCAUAAGAAGCUGAAAUAUUCAGUGGAAUCUUUUACUGUGGUCUGAAGACUAGUCUUCUCAGUCAAAAGUGAGUAGGUGUAUGUCCAUUGACAGUGGUUGGCAUGGUAAGCCAAUUUUCUCUGUGCAGCAGGCCUGAUCCACAACUAUUGGAAACUGACCCACAACUAUUGGAAAUGAGAGUGAACAGUUGUAAGCAAAUGGUUUCAUGUGUAUUAAGCUUAUCUAGUGUGCCUAUAAGUGUCUGAUCCUCCCCUUUAACAUUUUUCUAAAUGUUAACCCAAGCAUUCAAGGGAAAACUGGGAUAAAAAUUCAAAUUAGAAAACAAUAGCAACCCAGAAUGUAAAGACAUACCAAUAUCAGCAUGCUAAAGUGAUAGCCAGCUCUUCAAUUUUUGUGUUUUAAAGUUCUGGUUCUAAUGUUCUAUUCAGCUGCCAUAGCGAAAGACGUUUUCAGUCACCUGAGGGAGGUCUGUUCCACAAUUUCUAACAGUUUAUAAUGAGAUUUUCAUAUAGUAGUGGAAACCUUUAAAGAUAACCAGGGGAACUUUGCCUGCCUGGUGUGGCGUAGAGGCCCCUGUCAAAACCAUUUCCAGUCACCAGCUUGGUUAUGUUAAUUGUUGGCAAAAUUUGAUAAGAAAUGUGGCCAGUUUACUUCCCUGUCUCUAAACUCAGCUGUGGAAAAUUUGGGCAUGUAGAAUUUGGUGGCUGGUUUCAUCAAACGUAAGCAGUCUGGCUAUGGGAUAUCAGGGGCUCCUCAAAUAAUUUCAGAUGCAAUGCUUUUCAGCGAAGUCAGUUGUCUGUUCAUAGGAACAAUUUCACACAACCUUUCACCACAUGUAGAGCAGAGAGUGAUACUACAUCUAAUGUCCUCUACUCCUAUGCAUGUGUACAGGUAGUUGAAAUUUUAGAAUAAAAGCUGUACACAUACAGCUGGGUGUGCCGGACCUUUUGCUACACAUAUAUAGUUAUCUGCUGUCAGGGCUGCAGUCAGAUGCAGGUUAGCAAGAAAGGAAGCAAAGCUCCAAUGUCAGUGAAGUAAACUCUUUAUUCAAGGAAACAAAAUACAACUCAGCCAAUCCAUGACAUGUGCAUGCUGGUUCUUUUUCAACCUGCAGUCGAAUGCUACUGGUUACAGUAGAGCCUAGGGAUGGGGGAGGAAUUCAAUUCAGUUUGCAUUCAAAUGCAAACUUUCAUGCAUUGCAGAUUCCGAAACAAUAUGCAAACCAAUCCAGGGGUAAAAUAUGGGGAGAAGCAAGUAAGCCCUGUGCCACAUAAACACAUGACACGGUGCAUGGACUCCAUUUGAAUGGCAAUGCCCAUCAACUUCGGGAACUCCAACCCGCUCAAAUAUUUUACUGGGGGCCAAAGGCCCCUCAGCCCCUAGGAAUUGGCUCCUAUGAACCAAUCAGAGUCAUCCUUCAGAAAUUCACAUUUCUCUGAAUUUUGCAGUGCAUUUCUCCAGCACACAAAAAUGCAUAUAUGAAUGUAAAGUGUGCAUAGAAAUGCAUAUAUUAGUUAAAAUAACAUAAAACACAUAUUUUUGCAAAGCAGUUUCCCCUGAUGUGUAUCUUAGGAUAAAUUUGCACUAAAGUGCUAAUGAAUUUUCAUGAGGGCUUAAAAGCUGCAACCCACAAACUAAAGUGGGAGUGUGGAGCAUUGAAUUUAAAAUUAGAAAAAAGAGAAAUGGAGAGAAACCAAAACUGAGUAUAAGUGGGGUUCAAGUGAAGAAAAAUCAAACCUUGUCAAAGCACGGUCAAAACUGAAAGACUGUUUGGAUUGUUUGAAAUCCAAUUCAAUGUUGUCUGUGUGCUUCCAGCCUUGUAUCCUAUGUUUUAACAAACAAACAAACAUCAGUCUAUUCAGUCCCAAAAUUCAAGGGUGAAUGCUGAUCCUUGUGUAGCAAAAAUGGCAGCAUCCAUGCAAAAAGAAAAAGGAGAAAGGAGGUGUGAAAGUUUGCAAGGGGGAAAAAAGUCUAGGAAAAAAACCUUAAGCGGGUGGACACCCAAAUCAGCCCCCUGAGGACUGAGAGAGAAUGUUGAGAAAGAAUAACUCAUUCUUGGUCAAAUUGGGAGAGCUGGAAGUCUGUGUCAGCCAUGUUUACACCCCACUAUUUCCAUAAUUAUUGGAAUUAUUACUAGCUGUACAUAGCAUUGACAGAUUCACUAUACUCUUUCCCACAUAGUAAAAAUAGAUCAGUCAGGAUCUUGGCACAAUAUUUGUGGUACAGCCGCAUGCAUAAUAAACAGGAACACCGUUUUUUUUUAAGAGGGAAAGAAGGAAGAGAUAAUUUCAAAUAGCAUGGAAGUCCAUGUUGGGGUUAGAGAGCAAGUUUGUUAAACUGGUUUGGGUUCUCAUUAGUGGUCAAUAUGUGUGGGUCAGGAGAGGAAACGGAAAACCACCUCCCUCCCUCAAACUUACUUUCAUGGUUGUAAAAUGGGCUUAGCAUAAUUCAUCGCUCAAAGAAGCUCCUUUACAAAACUACCUGCAGAUGGAAAAAUUUGUCUUGUCUUGUUUAUUCACUCUGGGUUCCUGAGCUUGUUUUGUUGCAUUUGGAAGUGAAUUGUUUGCCUUUUUGGUGCAGGUAACACUGGUCAACAUUUUUACCCAUUUGAAGAGGGGGCCCAUUCAUCUGAAGUGUUGUGGAACUAACAAUAUGACUCAGGCUGAGGAAUGUGUGUGGUAUAUGUUGGGUUGUGCUUUUUCUUCUGCUCAUGAGUGUUAAAAGAGAAGAGCAAGGAGGAAGAGUGGGGAGGGGGUGAAAUAAAUAAAUAUUCCCCUCUAGAUAAAUAUUAAUGCUGGACUCAAGGGGGAAACAAAUUUUUUUAAAUAAAAAAAUGUCAAUAUUCAACAUAUAAUGAACAUAACACUCUAUUGACUAUUCACUAAUGAAACUUCUAGGCUAAUCUAGGCUUCUGGCAUUGGCAGAAAAAUGUCCAUAUUAAGGUUCCCCACCCCCACAGUCAGUCUACCAGUAAUAGGCAUCGUUGUUAGAACAGUUUGGAGGACAUAAUGAUAGAUUAUUUGUGAUACUGGUCCCAUUUGUGAAAAGGCCCAAAUGUAACUUGCCGAAGAUACAACUUCUGGGAUGUGAUAAAUAAAUAAUCUGUCAAUUCAAGGGUGUGUUUUUCCCCCCUUAUUCCAAAGAAGGAAGUAUCUGUUUUGGGUUCGUUGGUUUUUGUUCAGUAGCAUGUUCAUAGUUACAAGCUGUCAAUGUAUUCCAACACCCCUGAGAUUCUAGCUCUCUUCCCUCUUCCACAUUAGCCCAAAUUCUCCCUAGUUGUUUUUCUCUUUUAUCAUAGAAAGCUCCGAGCUGCCCUUGUAACUGCUCUGGUGGCACUGAUGGCCUGACAAGCCAAAAGCCAGUGAACUAAGCACUAAUGGGGGCUUGUGAGAGGUGCAGAAUUCUAACUUCGAGGAUUUUGAGAAAAUAUUAAAUCCCUGCAACAAGAUGUUGCAAUGUGGGGUGCUUCUGCAGUGUUCAGGCAACUCUUUACUAUCCACCUACAUCUGGUUUUCCUUAACCCACUCACCCAACAUUUAGUAGCCAGUGACAUUGAGCAUGCUCAGUCCUCAUUAGGCAGGGUGUGUGUGUGUGUCUUUUAGGAAGUUUCCUCUAUUUGGGAGGGUGGCAUGGUGGUGUCCACCUUUUUGGAAGGUAGAGGGAAGGUGUCCCAGGUACAUGAAAUGAUUUAAUUUCACCUUUGAAACAGCUCUCUCUUUUGCCCUGGGAACAUUUUAAAAUACCAUAGUUUCUCAGCGUGAACUAGGAAGUGAUGUACAUAGACAAGGAAAUGUAAUUUGUUUCGUUGUUCUUCUUUUCCAGCCACUCCAUUCUGUUUACCCCUGGAGAAGGUAAGGGCUCUGCACCCAGUCUACUAAGCAUUCUAUUUCUCCCCUCCCAGAUUGUCAAGUGUUCUGUAUUAACCAAUCUGGAAUAAAUACUGCUCUGCUUCAAUUCUUACCAUGGCUCCUCAGAUGAGGCUUCCCAAUACUACACUGGUCUACUCAAAAGUAAGGCCUACUGAGUUUGAUUUGUUUACUCUCAGAAAAUAUAAAGAGAUUUAAAAAUAAAUAAAAAAUAGUAUAGCACACCAAUACUGUUCUGGAAAGCAAGUGUAAGCAAUUCCUUUCAGACUCUAGUGUGCUACCAGCUUGUUCUUAAACAACUGCAGCAAACACUCCCCUAGCCCUGCCACACAACCAGGAGAAAGUUAUUAAAACACACCAUCAAUUUAUUUAUCUCAAAUGAAAUCCUGCCUCUUCCAAAUUUUUCUGAAACUACAUGAAACAGGGAGCACUUUGAAAAGCAAUGGGAAAAUAAAGAGAAAAAUAAUGGGAAAGAAGGGGUAGCUCAGUCAGUAGAGCAUGAGGGUAUUAAUCUCAGGGUUAGAGCCCCACAUUGGGUACAAGAUUCCUGAAUUACAGGCCAUUGUACUAGAUAGCCCUUAGUGUCCCUUCCAAUUGUACAAUUAUAUGGUUUUAUGAAUUUUUAUGGUAUGGAAGAAUGAGACAGCUUUAGGAGCUGUUAAAGGUAAAGGUAAAGGGACCCCUGACCAUUAGGUCCAGUCGUGGCCGACUCUGGGGUUGUGGUGCUCAUCUCAUUUUAUUGGCUGAGGGAGCCGGCAUACAGCUUCCGGGUUAUGUUAGGAGCUGUUGGGGAUGCAUAAAAUGAAGUUGAGGGCUUCAUAUGCCCCCCCAGGCUUCUCAAAUGUGACAUAACCUAUUCUUUAAAGGUGUUGUGUGCAUGCAUAUGAAGAACUGGAUUGUGUCUUUUCCAAAAAAGAUAAUUCUUCAUUACUACUGCUCUUUAGUAUUGCCUGCUUCCCUCCCUCUAAAAUCCUAUAUUAAGUAUGAUUUACAUAACAUCCACAUUACGUAAUAGAUACUGUGAAAGAUACUGAGUUUGGCAUUCCUGAAGUGGGGAGUCUAAGAGGGCAAAGGAUGUCGGGCCAGUCAACGCCAUAAAAAGGAGAAUGAUGAACAUACAUAUACAGAGCUGCAUAACUGAUAAAGUCAGGAAGAGUGAAUGUUGACAUUUCUGUGUUUCUGUCUGUUUCGAUUGCAUUUUAAAACUUGAUAUCUGUGGGGAUUUUGCUGUUUUGUCUACAUGUGAUAUGCGCAGUGGGGAAACAGCGAUCCACUGGAUCAAUCAAUUCCUUGAAGGUUAUACGCUUUGCUGGUGGUUUCAGGGUGGAUAAUUAAAAAAAUAUGCCUUACUGCAGGCUGGUGAAAGAUAUGUUUGCUGACAGGGGCUUGUGGGAAGAGGUGGACUUCAAAGUGGCUGCUUGUUCAGAGCAUGGAAAAUGUAUCAGUGAAGACAAAUAUUGUCAGAGUACAGAGCUUGUGGUUUAAGCUCAGAUGAAUGAACACAUCACUUCUGUAAUGAUGCAAAGGAGAAAAGAUUGUAAAUCUGGCUUCUCUGGGAAAAGUGAACUUUGAGUGAAUUCUGAAGGCAUUAUUUCUACAGAAAGUGCUUUCAAAUUUACAUCAAAAGCAGAGCACAAAGCGCCUUCUUCUUUCUCUUUUUCUCAGCUCCAUCCACGCAGCUCAGCAAGUAAACAUGGGAAGGCAUUUUAAUAGCUGGCAGUGCACUGUUUACCCACCGCUUUAUCAAACAGGAUGGCUGCAGAGAGUAAUCAAGGCUUCAUAUGGAUUGCAUUAUUUUGAUGCAUGGUGUCAUAUUUUCUUACUGGUUCUGAUACAUCAGUGACUUUCAGUUGCUUAUCUCAGUUUUGUGGCUUAUAAACUGUAAUUGACUGUCUCCAGGGACAACAGUAAACUAUUUUUCCCUUUGCUGUUAUCAUUUUUUGCCCUAAACUUUUAUUGUGUGCUCUUUCCCUCCUUGAAAUAAUAAUAAUAGUAGUAAUUAUUAUUAUUAUUAUUAUUAUUAAUAAUAAUAAUAAUUAUUUCAGCUUGAUAGUCUAUGUGUGUAUUAAUGUAACAGGCAACAUUUUAUUCUGUUGAUCUGCAAAUUCUGAUUUUUAAAGCAACAACUGAAGCUGUUUCAUGUGUUUUACUAGUGUUACAAUAUUCAUUAGAGGCAUUUAAAAUAAGCAGAUUUUAAAUUGUUUCACCUACAAGAACAUAGUGCAUUUUUCAUCCUUAUUUAACCCAUGCAUAUCCCAUCAGGAAUCCUAAUAUGGUCUGGGGGCCAUUUUCCCCAAACCACACCCACUUGACCUCCCCUGAUGUCACUUGUGAUGUCAGGUGUGAGGCAGAUAAAGGCAUGGUAGCCAUCACUUUGAAGUCUGUUUGCUAGGGGUUUGUACUGAAAAACUUGUAAGUGGACUUCAAAGGUGAUCUCCGUUCAAGUUUUCACUUGAUAUCAUUACCUACAUCUGGCAAAGUUCACCUGUAGGUAGAAGGGAGGAAGGAUCUGGUCCCAUGGUCAUGUCCAGUUUCCCACUGUUCGUUUAUCAUAACAUCCAAAUGCUCCAGGAGCUAGUUGCAAACAUUCACCCUUCCACAGAUCUUUGACUGGGGCUGCCACAGUCCUUUCGACAAAAGAGUUGGAUGAAGCCCAUCUUGGAAUCUUCAGCCAUGAAACCGAGGAGCUACUGAAUUUAAAGAGUGGCUUCUCACUGCUAGCUUUAAAAAAAUUAUGUGUGUGUAAAUUAAUAUAAUAUAAUAUAUAAUAAUAUAAUAUAUAAAUUUCUGGUUUACACCUCAUAGCUAUCAUAGAGGGACUUAAUGGCUUUCUGGAAGAUAUGUCUUCUCAUUCUCAACUCCCCAUCUCUAAUGCAGGUUUAGUAAUAUGGUAAUCAUUAAAGGUGGGCAGCAACCACAAGAUUCACCUUGUAUCUGUAGUUUGGGGAGCAGCCUGAUCUGUUUCAGAUGUGCUCUGAUUUGAUUCAUUAUUUGGGUCUACUUUUCUGUUAAAUCUGAAUCUUUGUCCCACCUCCAUUAACUAGAAUGGGGAAUCCAAAAUGGCUAUAACUUUUAUGAAGGCAUCCUUAGGUAAGAAAUCUGCCAAAGUUCAGACAAAUAGGUUAUGGGACUAUCAAGCUCAGUCAUUUUACCUUUGUUUAUAGCAAAAUUAGAAAAGUCAUAGUUUGUUUUUUGCUGCCACCUCUUUUCUGGAAGUACCUUCUAGGAACAAAAAAAGAGAGAGAUCUAGGAUUUUUAAUUGUUGCUUGGGACAAAAAACACCUAAAGAAGAAGCAGAUCACCCCAAUAGCCUAACACCACUGCUUAUGCCUUGCUCUCACAGCCAAAACUCUGGAAAGAAUGAUGAGAAACAACCCUGCUUAUUUACUUCAAGAUUCCUCCUGCAAAUCAUUGGGAUUGGAGCAGCCUCAUAAAAUAUUUUGUUGUGGUUAAAAGCAGACAUGUCCAUCAAAAUGAAAAAUCCUCCCCUCUCCCCCACUUCUUGAGUUUUGGGGAUUUCUUAAAGUCAGCAUGGUUUCUUUUCUCAUAAAAAAAUAAAAAAUUGUGCAUUAAACUUUUUGGAAAAAAACAACUCAGAAAUUUAGAGUGGUGGCUGAUCUGCCUCAAGACACCUUGUUAAUGUGUCUUGCGAGGACAUGACCUGAAUCACCCCCAUUUUUCUUGUUGUUUGGGGUACACACAAAGCCAGUGGGCACUCCUAGUAAUCACCAAAUGAGGUUGUGGAUUCAAGCCCCACGUUGGGCAAAAGAUUCCUGUACUGAAGGGGGUUGGACUUAGAUGACCCUCAUGGUCCCUUCCAACUCUACAAUUCUAUGAUUGAUGCAAGAGUUGCAAGAUAAUGAGUAUGAACAGUGCUUUGACGACGUGACAGUGCUUUACAAAUGUUAAAUGUUGUGAUAUUAGUACUUGACCAAGUAUUAGUACAAGGCCAUUUGGCUGGGAAACACAAAUCCUAGGAUGGGAGCUCUUCUGCCAUAGACUGAUGACACAUUCUAGAAGAAAGCUGGGUUGUUGGGACCGUUGAUCAUGUUGUUUUGAUAUUGGAGUACAGAAUUGUGGCCUAUAAGUCCCAAAAACAUUUGUGUUCUUCAGGAUUCUGAGUUAGAUGGCCAAACUAGAAGUUGGCAGUCCCACUUCACAGAAAAGAAACUAGAGUUCAAGGACAGUUAAGUUACCCUAGCGGGCUGGCCUUUGAAUGAGGGAUAGAAUGAGGUGACAAUUAGGUUCUCCACAUUAUUUUGCAAUUUUUUAAAAAGUCCUUAUGAAAAUUUGCCAGCAUUUUAGUGCUUAUUUCUCCUAAUACGUUUUUUUACAUGCAAGUUUCCUUAAUACAUUUAAUACAUUUUCACUAAAAUAUGUAUCUUUAUGCACACUUUCCCCCCAAUGCACAUGUUUUAAUACAGUUUAUGGAUAGAGAACUGCAUGGCAAAAUUCAGAGAAGUGUGCAUUUCAAAGGACAGCUGCAUUUCCCUUAGCAAAUUGUUUCAGGAAGUGUGAAUUAGAUAGGUUCUCAUUAAAAUGCAAACCAAACUGAAUUUCUCCUGCAUCUUUACUUUGAACUCCGGGCUUCUUUCCACCUUCGCAUCCACGGUCUGUACCCAAGAAUGAAUGAGCUUAUAUGGACAUAGCAUACCUCUGUGAACUUUCCAAGAGAAGGUGGGUAUUAUUCUCAGCAUUUUAAAGCAGGAAGCAAUUAAGGCUGUCCUUAUAAACAUAGGGACAGGAAUGAACCUAGAUGUCCUGGCUCACUCUGCAAUUUACUAAAUCUAAUAGCUUUUCCCAGCAUAAGAAAAACCACCAGAUGGGGACUGUACCAUCAUCAAAUAAAUGAGGGAUCUUCACUUAAUGAUUUGCCAUUGCUUAUAAGCAUAGCAUUUUUAAACUGAGGGAGACUGGAAAAUUCAGGAUGUGAUUACCCUGGCUGAACUCUUAUGAGCUUUUAUGAGCUUCAGAUUGAGACAUUCUUAACAUCAGUCCAGGCCAUCCUUAGAUAGUCAAGUAAAACAGGCUCUUAGUGGUUAGUGGAGAGGAUACUGAGGUACUGGCCUUGGUUACUUUGGGCAUGAAAUAUAUGCCGUCAAAAAUCCAAGGUAGUCAAAUGUAAACUUUGCAUGUUGUUGGUAUUUUAUUUUUUAAUUUUUUAAAAUAAAUUGCUUUAUAUGUUCUCAGACUAUUGAGAAGGAAUCUGUAUUUUUCCAGUAUUCCAGCUGUUUGAGAUUGUGGCUGCAAUCCUGUUCACAGGCUGUAAUACUCUGGAUACUUAUCUGAGAGUAAUCCCCAUCAAACUCUUAGUCUUGCAUCCAAAGACACAUGCAUAGGAUUGUCCUGCAUAUUUUUUUAUAUUGAUAUUGCAUGGUUGCUGCCUUUAUUUAUCUUUUCUUCUUCUCCCACAUUGUAAUUUCCUAAUCCUGAAGGUUCAUACAAGACCUUGUAUUUUCCCUUGCGUACAACAUUGUUACCAUUUCACAUCUGGCAAGGUACUGAGGAGGGAAUCUUUUAAAGCUGUUUGUCUUAAGGUGCUUAAAAAAAAAUGCAGUUGUACUGUAGUGCUUAUAGACUCUUACUGCUCUUCUGAAACCUUUGGACAAAAACCCAAAUUGCUCCAGACCAGCCCUGUUUAACAUCACAAGACAGGUUGUUGUUGUUGUUGUUGUUGUUGUUGUUUUACUAAAGCUGAAAUAUUCAGGUGAGAAGAUUAUUGAACUUGAUUUAUGUAUAGAACAUCCCUGGAAAUUGACAGUCUGUCUGAUUUGUUUUUCAUCCUCCUAGUUUUACCAUUGUGACAAUUGAAGGCGGAGGGCAGAGAAUAGAAAAAGGAGGUCAGUGGGCAAAGAGUUGGGGUGGGCGAGACACCUGGAGUAUUAAAGUGAUUUAACCAGUUUAUAUUAAUGGUAUAGGAGGGAGUUUUUGGGGGGUCCUCAAAGCAUAGCAGGCAAUGGCUGUGCCAUAUUGCUGUAUGGUUUCAGCUAUCAACAUGUCUAAAUUUAGUUUUGCUGUUAACAUUUUAUGAUUUAGAAGGCUAUAACUGCAGCAUAGUAGCAAAACAGCCAUCAUUCCCUUGGCUCUAUUUAUCAGGCUUCCUCUCUGCAAGGCUUCCCGUUAUAAAACAAAUUGGGGGGGGGGGAGAAAGUGAACAGGAUUGAAGGGAGAGACAGGUACUAUUUCAGUCUUUCAUUUUUUGUUCCAUCUGGCAAGUUAUAAGAAUAAAGAUACGGAUAAGCCACUUUUGAAUAGUCUGUUUUUCAGGUGAAAGUGGAAUCCAAAUAUAUAGCUUAUUGGCUUCACCAGUGACAGCUAAAGAUAGCCCAAGAAGCAUGUGUGUGAGAUGUAGUUUGACAUCUGCUACUCAAAAACUAGCUGGAUGUUUAUUAUGCUGCAGGGAAGAUAUUCCACGUGCUGCAGCCAUUUGCUAAGUAGAAAGCAGAUAUAACAUGCAAAGGUCUAGCACAGGCAUGGCCAAACGUGGCCCUCCAGCUGUUUUGGGACUACAACUUCCAUUUUCACUAGCUAACAGGACCAGUGGUCAGGGAUGGUGGGAAUUAUAGUCCCCAAACAUCCCAAGUUUGGCCAUGCCUGGUCUAGCAUUAACCAUGAAGCUAGGUGAAGUAGUGCUUCAGGCAACCAGUGCUAUGGGGGUUGCAAUUUUCUUAGCUUCAACCUGACUCUUCAUGUGUAAUUAAAGAAAAGAGGAAGACUCUCAUUCUUUGCUACAGGUAUGGAAUUGCUUAAGGUAGCAAUCUUAACUCUGAUAGCAGGGGUCAGCAAACUUUUUCAGCAGGGGGCCGGUCCACUGUCCCUCAGACCUUGUGGGGGGGCGGACUAUUUUUUUUUGGGGGGGAAUGAACGAAUUCCUAUGCCCCACAAAUAACCCAGAGAUGCAUUUUAAAUAAAAGGACACAUUCUUCUCAUGUAAAAACACGCGGAUUCCCGGACCACCUGUGGGCCGGAUUCAGAAGGCGAUUGGGCUGGAUCCGGCCCCCGGGCGUUAGUUUGCUACCCAUGUCUAAUAGCAUAAGAUAAGCCUGCUGGAUCAAACUGACAGCCCAUCUAGUCCAGCAUCCUAUUCUCACAAUGGCCAACCAGAUGCCUGUGGGAAGCUUGCAAGUUGGACAACAGCACUCUGCCCAACCAAAAUUCCCCACAACAUGUAUUCAGAGGCAUGGUGUCUUUGAUAUUGGACGCAGAGCAUGGCCAUUGUGGCUAGUAACCCUAUUUACCUGGGAGAAUUGAAUUCAAUAAGACUGACUUCUGAGUGGGCAUGGCUAGGAUUGCACUGGAAGGCAUUAGCACUGAACUUGGAGAUAGCCAUAUACGGGAGAGGGAAAUCAUGCCUCAAAGUAGAACUUCUAACAAAUCUUUCCAUGACUUACUUAUAAAUUGUGAAAACUUCCAAUAUAUGAUAGCCAGACUUUGCUCCCUUGACAGCUAGAAACAGUCUCUCCUAGCACCGAAACUAAAUUACCCAUUUGUUUCUUUUCAAAUUAUAGCGGAAAUAACUAUGCCAGCUCAAGGUCAGGCAGAGUUUUCCCCAUUGAACUGGAUGUGCAUUUCUGAGAACUUAGGGAACUUUGGAAUGGGUGGAUCUAAAGGUCCCUCUCAGUCCAUCUCUGACAUGCCCCCAGAACACCCUUACACUUUUGCCCUUACCACCCAUGGGGCACUGUUGAUGAAGCACCUAUAGUGGCAGAGGUUUCCCCUGCCAGUCAAGGGAAGACCGCUGCAGUAGCUUAGAAACCUAUUAUAGUACAGUGGUACCUUGGGUUAAAUACUUAAUUUCUUCCAGAGGUCCAUUCUUAACCUGAAGCACCACUUUAGCUAAUGGGGCCUCCCGCUGCUGCCGCCACGCAGUUUCUGUUCUCAUCCUGAAACAAAGUUCUUAACCCGAGGUACUAUUUCUGGGUUAGCGGAGUCUGUAACCUGAAGCGUAUGUAACCUGAAGUGUAUGUAACCUGAGGUACCACUGUAAUAAUAAAUAACAACAACAAUAGGUGGGACCCCACAAAGUAGAUCCACUAGUGCAAGAAUGCCUGCUUGCAUCAUGGAAUUUUCCCUCCCUCUUCUCUACCCAGGCACGCUCCCCAAAUCUGCUCCAGGGGGUCAAGGAACCCAUAGUAAGGUGCAGGGGGCAUGAGAGGAGAGGGAAAGGAGGUUCUGUUGCACAGCUGUGCUCUAAUAGAUCUACUUUGCUGGUAUGAUGGUUAUUAUGAGGAUGGUGAUGUUGAUCAUCGUAAUAGUAAUAGACCUGUAUCCUGGUAACUUUCCAAAGACCAUAGACUUGCACCCUUAAAUAAAUGAACAACAUUCAGUAAACACCCACUGAGGGACAGAAUAACUGAGAUUUCUACAUUAUUCUCAGACCAAAAUGGCCUCCACUUAGGCACACCUCCAGAUUUUUUUGUUUAUUUGUUCUUAAAAGUGGAGGGUGGGGGAGGGCACCAAUAACUCAAAAUAAUUCAUAUGAGUUCAUAUUAAGGAAAUAUGUUGUUUGUAUUCUCUAUGGAAAUUAGGCUGUGUGUUUUCACUUUAUGCAUCAAAUUUAGCUUUCCCCCAGAUAACCCUGAGGGAAGCGGGUGCAGCUGAUUUCUUAAUUUGCAAGCCAAAAACCUGACAGCCCCAGAUGUGAGCCAGUCCAGCUUUAGGUGUGAAAGCUGUUUUUGAAAGCCAAAACACAGGCAAUUAAGGAGAUUCUCCUCAUUUUGAGCUCCUCUUUAACCAGGCUGUCAGUCCUGGAUGUGGUGUUCCAGACAGAGCAAGGAUGAACAUGAUAGACAGAACACCUGGAGCCUUUCCCAAGAGAAACAAAGCAGAAGGACAAAUAAAAUAAAAGCAAUGACCACCUACUGUAAAGAAUUGCUGAGCAACAAUGGCAAGGAACGAACUAAUGAGGAAACGCAUAAUGAGGCAAAGGAGAACAGAUAGCAGGAUAGCUGGGCAAAUGCUGUGCACUACCUCAAAAAUACAACAACCUGUACACACACUAUCCUUAAAGCUAUCCUUAAGUCAGAGAAGUGUUUACCUUAUUAAUACAGUGCAGCCUUAUUUGUGCAUUUAAAAAUUCCAUUUUGACUCUUAGAGAAAAUACACCCACUCAUGCAAAUUUAUGAAAAUGCCUGAAACCACCCCAAAGGUGUUGUUCAAGAUUUUGAUUGUUUUGGUUGAGGUGGGGGGGACCCAUCAGUCAAGCUUAUUUUGCCAUAGUUGUGCCAUGAUAGCAACCUAAUGGUUAAUGCGGGGGGCACCAACCUGCGACCUGUGGGCACAAAUGCACCCACAGAGGGCUGCCCUGUUUUCCACAGGGCUCCUAUCCUCACCACUCAACACUGAUAUUAAACUUUCAAGAAACAUUAUAUUGCAGCCAAUAAAAUAGAUUGUGGUGUGCGUUGUGCAUGGUGCCCACAGCCAUUUCUCAGCUUUGCAAAGGUGGCCCCAGGCCAAGAAUUCAAUAACUCAGUUAACUUUGAAGUAGGCAGAAACUGCCUCAAACUUCCCUCUUCCACCUUGCAGGCUUCCAAAUGUCUGUUUGUGAGGUGGAAACAUGGAUGAAAGGGCUUUCCUUUUCUAAAUAUCUCCACUUAUGUAGAGUGAGGGAAGAAAGCAAAUAUGAAAACAGGAAAAGAAAUAUUAGCUGUCCAUGUAGUGAUCUCUAGGUAGAAAUAACCAAUAAGAGAAGAGUAGAUUCUCCUCCCCUCAAAAAAACACUCACAUGUUGGGCAAAUAAUCACCUUUUAAUUGUUUCCCCUGGGUGUUGCCUUUGUGCUGGCUUGCACAUUUAAGGUGGGUGGCUCAAAUGGGGAGGUUCAGAGAGCAUUGAACAAUGUGGAACCCUGUGUGAUCAAACUAAGCAUAAAUUAACUUGAGCGUUAUAGAAUCAUAGAGUUGGAAGAGACCACAAGGGCCAUCGAGUCCAACCCCCUGCCAAGCAGGAAACACCAUCAGAGCACUCCUGACAUAUGGUUGUCAAGCCUCUGCUUAAAGACCUCCAAAGAAGGAGACUCCACCACACUCCUUGGCAGCAAAUUCCACUGUCAAACAGCUCUGAAGUUCUUCCUAAUGUUUAGGUGGAAUCUUCUUUCUUGUAGUUUGGAUCCAUUGCUCCGUGUCCGCUUCUCUGGAGCAGCAGAAAACAACCUUUCUCCCUCCUCUAUGUGACAUCCUUUUAUAUAUUUGAACAUGGCUAUCAUAUCACUCCUUAACCUCCUCUUCUCCAGGCUAAACAUGCCCAGCUCCCUUAGCCGUUCCUCAUAAGGCAUCGUUUCCAGCAGAUGUUAUGUUUCAGCAGAUGCAAACACCACCAUUUCCUUUUUUUAAAAAAAUAAAUAUUUAUGGAAUAAAAUGUUGCAUUGCAGAAAGGACUUAACUGUAUUACGCUAAUUGAAGGAGAGUGCCUGUAAAUGUUUAAUAUGCCCGCAGGAAUGUAUGCAAUCCAAGAAAACAAAGAGCAAAACAUCAACAGGAAGCUAAAUUGUCCUUCUCAGAUACCUGAGUUAGGAAACCAAGACAGGAUUAAGUUUAUAGUUAACUGUGAAACCAGGAUAACAAGGCUGCAAUCCUAAUCAUACUUACUUGGGAAUAAGCCCAACUGAAUUCAAUGAGACUUACUUCUGAGUGGUUGGCAUCUGUCUGUUCCGUGAAACAAUGUUUCAUGCAUCUUUGGGCAGUGGAGAGUUACGGUGCCUGCUGUGGCUGUAGAGACCUGUACAUAGGAUAUACAUCUGGAUUUUCCCAGGCAUAUUUGGAAUACAGCAGUUGGGAGCAGUACAGUGGUGCUCCGCAAGACGAACGCCUCGCAAGAUGAAAAACUCGCUAGACGAAAGGGUUUUUCGUUUUUUGAGGUGCUUCGCAAGACGAAUUUCCCUAUGGGCUUGCUUCGCAAGACGAAAACGUCUUGCAAGUUUGUUUCCUUUUUCGUAAAACCGUUAAUACCCAGGGUGCAUUGCUUGAAGAGGUGCAGUUGUGACUUGACUUCGAGGAGCAACUCAUAGCACGCGGUGUGGUAGCCUUUUUUGAGGUUUUUGAAGACUUUGGUGAUUUUUGAAGCUUUUCCAAAACUUCUUUUGCAGCCAUUUGGUAAGUUAAACUUUUAAAACUUUUUUGGGGGUUUUUGGAUUUUGGGUUGGGGUGUUUGGAAUUCAAGGACUUGGCGUUGGGGAGGGGUUUGCAAGAAUCUGGAAGCUUGUGUUUUUUUUCUGCAUUUUUAUGAUUUUUUGUGACCAUUGGGCCACUCUGCUGUUUUUUUAAAAAAAAUUCUGGAUUUGAAUUUCUGUGUGGUGGGUGACUGGGGGAACAGUUGGGGAGGGGUUUGCAACAGUUGGGGAGGGGUUUGCAAUUUCUGUGUGGUGGGUGGCUGGGGGAAUAGUUGAGGUUUUUGAAGACUUUGGUGAUUUUUGAAGCUUUUCCAAAACUUCUUUUGCAGCCAUUCGGUAAGUUAAACUUUUAAAACUUUUUGGGGGGUUUUUGGAUUUUGGGUUGGGGUGUUUGGAAUUCAAGGACUUGGUUCUGGGUUUGAAUUUCUGUGUGGUGGGUGGCUGGGUGCUUUUGAAUUUUUUGGAUGUGAAGCACUGAUUUUUUGGGGGGGGGUGCGCAGGUAGGAGCUGUGCUGCCAUGGGACCCAAGAAGACUGCUGCUGCAGAGGCCGGCGAGGGGAAGAAGGAGAAGGUUACGCUGGAAAUGAAGAAGCAGAUCAUCCGGAAACACGACGGUGGAAAGCGUGUGACAGACCUCGCCAGGGAGUUCGGGAUGAAUCCAUCGACCAUCGGGACCAUCCUGAAGAUGAGGGAGAAGAUCCUUGUGACUGAUGCAGCCAAGGGAGUCACCAGGAUCGUGAAGAACCGCCCAGCUGUUCUGGAGGAGGUGGAGAAGUUGCUGCUCAUCUGGUUAGAAGAGAAGCAGCGUGCAGGGGACACAGUGACUGAGGCUGUCAUUUGUGAGAAGGCCAAGGCCUUGCACGCAGACCUCGUCCGGGAACAGCCAGGAACCUCAGGCGAGCCAGAAGUCUUCAAGGCAAGCAGAGGCUGGUUUGACCGGUUCAAGACAAGAUCUGGAAUCCACAGCGUGGUCAGGCAUGGAGAGGCUGCCAGUUCUGAUGUUUCUGUGGCUGAAGACUUUGCAGCGGAGUUCCUGGAGGUUGUGAAGACGGAGGGCUACGUUCCACAGCAGGUCUUCAACUGCGACGAGACCGGGCUGUUUUGGAAGAGGAUGCCCAAAAGGACUUUCAUCACACAGGAGGAGGCCAAGUUGCCUGGCCACAAGCCCAUGAAGGACCGCCUGACCCUGCUCUUCUGUGCCAACGCAAGCGGCGACCUGAAGAUCAAGCCCCUGCUGGUGUACACUCAGAGAACCCAUGGGCCUUCAAGAAACACAAGGUCGACAAGGAGCAGCUGAGUGUCAUGUGGCAAUCCAACAGUAAGGCUUGGGUCACACGUGUGCUGUUUGUGGACUGGGUCAAUCUUGCUUUUGGCCCUGCUGUCAAACAGUACCUGCUGGACAACGACCUGCCGCUGAAGGCUUUGCUUCUGAUGGACAAUGCUCCUGCUCAUCCUAAAGGCCUUGAGGAGGACUUGUUGGAGGAGUUCAGCUUCAUCAGCAUCAUGUUCCUGCCACCUAACACCACGCCACUGCUCCAGCCGAUGGAUCAGCAGGUCAUCGCCAAUUUCAAAAAACUCUACACCAAGGAGCUUUUCAGGCGAUGCUUCGAGGUGACUGAUUGCACCACCAUCACCCUGCGGGAAUUCUGGAAGGACCACUUCAACAUCGUCACCUGCUUGAAGAUGAUCAACACGGCCUGGAACGGGAUCAGCCAGAGAAAUUUGAAUUGCGCUUGGCGCAGCCUGUGGCUGGACUGUGUGGCACCAAGUGACUCUGAUGCACCAGAGUCAACAGUGGUGCAGGACAUUGUUGCCUUGGGGAGGACCAUGGGCCUGGAGGUCACAGAGGAGGACAUCAGCGAGCUGGUGGAGGAGCACGACCACGAGCUGACCACCCAGGAGCUGGUCGAACUGCAGGCAGAGGCUGCGCAGGAGCAGGCCUCGCUGGAAGAGGAGGAAGCAACUGAGGAACGGCUGUCCUCCAAAGAACUGAGGGACAUUUGCCUGAAGUGGAAGGAUGUGCAGGCUUUUGCACAGUGGCACCACCCUGACAAGCACGUGGCACAUGACCUUGCGAACACUUUUGAUACGAGGGUCAUGUCGCCUUUCAGGGAGGUGUUGAAAAGGCGGAUGAAGCAGCAGACCAUGGACAGGUUCUUCAGCAAGAAGCAAAGGGUGGAAGAGGAACCUUCUUCGAGUUGUCCCCCAGAGUCUUAGAAAAUGUACUGUACACUUUGUUGAUUUUUAAAUGUUUUUCUGUCAUGUUUAGAAACUUAAUUUAUUGUUCCUUCAAUUUUUGAAAUGCUCUUUACAGUAUGCGUGACUUUAAAGAGCACUUAAACUCUUGUUGUACCAAAUUUGGCUUUGUUUGGACUUUUUUUGACCAUAGGAACGCAUUAAUUGAAUUUCAAUGCAUUCCUAUGGGAUUUCGUGCUUCGCAAGACGAAAAAUUUGCUAGACGAAAAAACUCGCGGAACGAAUUAAUUUCAUCUUGCGAGGCACCACUGUAUCUGGGCAGAAAUUGGGAAAAUGUCUGGGAAAAUCCGGACAUGGCGGCAGUGCCGUUUUUGCAGUUUUUCCAUAAAAGUAGCUCAAAAGUGGCAAAGAGCUCAACAAGGUAAAGGUAAAGGGACCCCUGACGAUUAAGUCCAGUCGUGACCGACUCUGGGGUUGCGGCGCUCAUCUCGCUUUACUGGCCGAGGGAGCCAGCGAACAGCUUCCGGGUCAUGUGGCCAGCAUGACUAAGCCGCUUCUGGCAAACCAGAGCAGUGCACGGAAACGCCGUUUACCUUCCUGCUGGAGUGGUACCUAUUUAUCUACUUGCACUUUGAUGUGCUUUCGAACUGCUAGGUUGGCAGGAGCAGGGACCGAGCAACAGGAGCUCACCCCAUUGCGGGGAUUCGAACCGCCGACCUUUGAUCGGCAAGUCCUAGGCUCUGUCGUUUAACCCACAGCGCCACCCGUGUCCCUAAAGAGCUCAACAACUUUGGGCAAAACUAAAAGAAGCUCAACAACUGCCUAGAUUUUCACAGUUUGAAAUAUGGCAACCCUACCUAUAUGAAGGCAUCUGCUUACACUGAUGCUGAUGCUUUCAUAUUCGGAAGUGUUAGAAAAGUGAGAGUGAGAGGAAGUCAGGGCAAGGAAAAGGUGUACAGAAACAUAUCAAAGGAUUGAUUUCACAUAUAUCCCAGAGCAGAUGACAAAUCUUGGAGAUGUGGGACAACAGGAGUGGAAAUAUCACGUUUGGUGUAUGCGUACUAAGUUGUUCUGGGAGUUAGUGUUGGUGAACACCAAGGAAAUGACAGGUUGUAACAAAGCAGGCCCCAUUAAUCAUUUUGUUUGGUAACACAGAAAAUGAAGUAAACAGGGUGAAUAGAGAAAUGCUUACUUAUGUAUUUACGGCUGUCAGGAUGGCAGUCUGCCAAAAGUGGGAACAGAAAGAAUCUCUGACACAAGAAGAUGGUUGAAUGGGAUAUGGGAUACAUGCUGAAGCUGACGGACAGGAUCAAAAACAGAGAAGGUUGGCAAGGGAGUAAAAGCUUUAUUGAUAGAUUGUCAUUGUUUAUUAUGGAUUGGAAUAACAAAGUGCAACCAUACAACUUGCUGGGAGAUGGGUAAUAGAUGACGGCAAAUGUUCACUACUUCUCUUCAGUUUCCCUCCUCCCUUGUAUAAAGCAUAUGGCAUUUACUCUGUACAGUAUGUUUUUUAACCUCUGUAUCUCACUUAUGUUAUGGAUUAACACAAACAAUUAUAAGCUUGUAUUACAAUUUACUGCCAUUUAUUUUUAGUUUUAAAAAUGAGGGGAUUUAUUUAUUUUUUAAGAGCAUUUUAGAAGGGAGGCAUUUUUCAGGACUGCCAAAAAUGUUCACAGGAAACUGAAGCUCUAGUUUCCAUGACUUGCUAGAAGACUUUAAAAACCCUUAUGUUUUAGUGACCUUUAAAAGUCCCAUCUGAAAACGUUCUUGCUGACUCUUCUGCAAUUCUUUUUAUUCACUGUAUGCUACCUUUUACAGCCUCUGUGAUGAACAAAAGCUAAAGGGAUUAAAAUCGAGUUGAUGGGUUGCCAAACCACUGGAUGUUCUUUUUCUAAACUACGUUUAUUUUUGUUUCCCUAGUUGUCCUUUGUCGCCCAUCUGCUGGAAUCCUCUUCUAGAUAAGACCCAUUACAACCGAGUAUUAGGCCAUGGACUGUGCCUAGUCACUGACUAUCAUCUUUGUGCAGAACAAUGGGCAGAAAGGUUACUCUCUACCUACACAUCGAGACCUUGAGGAGUAACAGGAAGCACUGUGGAAAAAGGCAUGCUGGAGCCUGGUAUUUUUUGUGGUAUUUUUUACAUAAACUGUGCUAUUCAUGUAGAAAUGUUAAGCCAAGUAAAUAAAGCAAAUCCAACUGUAAUAUUAUUACCAAUGUUGUAAACCUUGGUUUACAAACUUAAUCCGUUCCGGAAGUCCGUUCUUAAACCAAAGCAUUCUUAAACCAAGGCAUGCUUUCCCAUAGCAGUGGGGGACUCAAUUUACAAAUCGAACACACUCGACAGGAAGCAGAACAUGUUCUGCUUCCAAGGCAAAGUUCACAAACCAAAACACCUACUUCUGGGUUUGCAGCAUUCUUAAUCCAAGUUGUUCAUAAACUAAGCUGUUCUGAAAACAAGGUACCACUGUAGCUUGCAAGUAUGGGUGAGUUGUGGAAACUGGAAGAAAUAUAUUUGGGUAUCCUUUUGUCAUUAAGUAUAAACCACACUCAUAAAAUGUGUUCAAUGAAUUCCAGUCAUUCUCUUUAUAACUGGGACCUCCACAACUUUAUUAGUCAGAUCCUCCAUCAUGGAGGGCACGUGUUGCGGUGAGAUCACCAGAAACUGCCUCCCUGUUGUGGGGCAGAACCGUUUGGAUGGCCAAAACACCCCAUUGGUUGCCCCUCUGUUGCUGAGGCAGAAAUUUGGUCAGUUGGGUUGGCUAUUGGCUGCUGAGGGGCUACUUAAGCUGCUGCAUGUCGCUGGAGAGUUUCACUUUCUUGCAACGUGCAGCGGAUCACCCGCCCUCCUCUUUCUAUAUUUAGGGUUGUUCUUAUGGCCUUGCUAUGCCUGUCUAGGAGUCGUCUGUUUUGGAGCAGGGGCCCAGUAGGAAUUUUGCCAUUUGGCUGAUUGGCUGGUGCCACUUGGUUUUUGCCCACCAUGUAGCAAAUUGUCACAACUUUAUAAGGCUGGCGGUUAGGCAUUUGGUUCAAUGUUUUGGGGAGAGGAUGUUGUUGGCUGUGCCUGCCCCUCUAUUGCUGCUGCUAGGGAAUUCCAUUAAAGGAAUCCAGGGGCUCGCCAUGCUUUUGUCCAAACCCUGUCAAGGGGCUAGGGCCAUGCCAGAGCCCCUGGGAGCAUCUGGGGUGAGCUGUGAGAUCAAAGCCAUUUCUUGCUCCCCCAGGUUGCUUUCCCUUACUGACAUAUGGUGGUGCCCAGUGUCAGUCCUGUUCCUGUCACUGUGCAGGCUCAGGUAGUCUGGAACCAAUGCCUAAGCAACCACUCACAUGCUGUAAUCAAUAAAGGACUUCCGGGGUGGCGCCAUCGGCAAUGGCGGACUCCCUCUGAAUUGGUCUUUUCCGCUACGGCGAAGUGGGGACCCUUUUAAAAAUCACAGGCAGAUGAAGCCUGUGACCAUGGGACUCGGCGGGCACCCUUAGCGCCCCCCCAAUCCGCAAAGGAACCCACUAAUGGGCUCCGAAGCGAAGAGGGGGAAGCGGCGCGGUGCUGUGAGUCAACUGCUAUUUCCGUGGAGCGAAGCUGCACAGCCGUUGCCGGAGAGCGCUGCCUUUUUCUUGGGACAAUUUGGCUUUUAAAAUAAGCAUCCGUGAGUAUUUAAACUUUGAACAAUUGGACUUUAAAUAAGGACUUGCGAGCAGAAAGGAAUUGGACUUAGAAAUUUUACUUCAAUUUGGUACUGAAACGGGAAGGUCUAAACAGGAACUCAGCCUUCCGUUUCUUUGUAGACAGAAUAAAGCAAAGACAAUGUAAACUAGAGCUCAGAAAAUCGCCUCUAAAGGAUUGGCUUUCAUCAUUUAAAAUUGUUUAACCCCCCUUCGGCAGCAGGAGAAGGGGGAUCUUUUUUGGACUGUUUAAACCUGCAGAAGUGAGUUUAAAGUAAAGUAACUUUCCACCGUCCUGAUCCUGGAGCGGGAUGUCAGGACUGACGUAUGAAGCUCAUUGACCAGAGAUAAACGCUUUUGACAGAUAGCUAAAAGAAGAGGAACAUAGUGAUUCCAUUGUUUCCUUUCGCACCUUAAAGGAACAAAUAUUGACAAAAUAUCUGAAAAAAGGAAACUCUGUUGCUAGACUUGUCUUUAAAAGAAAGAUCAAAUAGAAGUUUUCCCCCUAGAGGGAGACUGUGAAACUGUAACCAACUCCUGGGAGCUGGCAGCUGUUACAGAUUACAAUCGUGGGAAUAGACAUCUGACCUUGCAGGACAAUGUAUUCAGAAGCUCUGUUGUGUGCUUUCUAUAAAACAAAUGCCCUACUGGAACAGCUACAUGAGAAGACGAAUUUGAUGGCUGAUUCGAUUAGAAAUUUUGAACAGGCAGUGGGAAAUUUUGAACAGGCAGUGGGAAAAUAUGUGGAGCCCACCCAGGAAUUAAAUCAGGAGUGUGCCCUGACAGAACAGGCCCAACAGGAAUAUGAGCUUCUGGAUUUGACAAAUGAACUUGGAAAAAGCCAGAUUUGGAAAGAAAAAGUGUGGUUUGGUUUGGAAAUGGGGGGUUGGAUAGACCCUCCUAUGCAGGGAUUUUUGGACUUUUCAAGUCUGGCAAUGGGCCGUGAGAUGUUUGGGAUUGUGGGGGCUCUCAAUUUUGGAUGGUUUUUGAAACAUGUUUUUAAAUACCACAUGGAAUUUAGUGUCGAUUAUGGAAAAGGGGCUGAUCUGUCGAGAAGGGUCAAAAAUAUUGCUAAGCUGGAGUUCCCACGAGUGAAACGAGCAGGAGACAAGGGAAAAUACAGUUACAAAUAUGAAGAAGAGCUGCGGAAGGGACAUGGAAGAGACUUAAGGGCUUCGGAUAUAAGGUCACCAGGUUAAUGCGCCAGAUCGAUGGGAUAAUAAGGACUGACAAACCCGGGACCAGGAGGAAGGGAUGCUGGAUGAAGAUUGAAGAUUGGAUUUGUUUUUAUUUCUUUUUUUCAUCACUAGGACUGUUUUAUAAAAUUGAUGAAUGUUAGAAAAAUGUUGGAAUGAAAUUAUUUGGCUUUAGUAAAAAUGUUUAAAGAAUUAUGUAAGAAUAUUAUGGUUAUGAGAAGUUGGUAAAAAUAAGAUUUAAGUUUUAAGUUCCAAGGUUUUUAUAGUAAGAUAAGAUUAAAAUAGUUUAAGGUAAUGUAAUGACAGAAUAUUAUGAAAUAUGGAAAGGAUUUGCUGUGACAAUUAACAACCAGGACACAAGGAAGGGGAGGAGGAGGAGGUCAAGGAAAGAGGGUAAUGACAGUUGAGGAGUUGAAAAUAAUGGAUUUGUUUUUAAUUGUUUUUAAAUUUUUGUGGUGUAUUUUUGUUUUCCCCCCUCUCUUAUUUUGUGUAUUUGUAUGGUUGGAAGUGGCUUGUUUUUCUCUUUUUCUACUUUGUUUUCUUUUGUAACUUAAAAAAAAAUAAAUUCCUUCAAUAAAUAUCAUUU
Non-coding RNA from Podarcis lilfordi (Lilford's wall lizard), 48896 nucleotides. The record is from the annotation of a GenBank genome assembly. Lineage: Eukaryota; Metazoa; Chordata; Lepidosauria; Squamata; Lacertidae.